This 79423-nucleotide long non-coding RNA is filed under the name Cucumis sativus (cucumber). RNAcentral describes it as "long non-coding RNA (CSAT_LNC001729)". The record is from RNAcentral. Lineage: Eukaryota; Viridiplantae; Streptophyta; Magnoliopsida; Cucurbitales; Cucurbitaceae.
AAGUUGUUGUGACUUGUCUGGUGACAGAGUUGGUAAAUUAUACGGAAAGGGGGAAGCCAUUUGAGAUGAUCAAUAUAUCAGUUGUUAAUCCAUCAUGCUGUUUUAUACCAUGUUUUGAUAUUUGCAUCUCUCUUUUGUGACUGUUCAACUUAAUUAAAUGUGUCGAUCUAAUAAAGCUAUUGUUUGUGCUUUUCCACCCUCACAUAUAUUCUCUGCUAUAUAUCAUCAAUCGUUGCGUUUCUCUUUUUCAUCUUUCAUUUAUGUUGAGUGUGUGUACUAUGGGGGAGUUUGCCUGCCUGCUCGGAUUCGGAAAUCAAGUUAUAACGUAUAAUAUUGUCGAUGUUGGUUUACGACUUAUAAGACUAACUAUUAGUGUAGGGAUUUGUGUAGUCAUUGGGUAAUUUUUGAGAAAUAAAAGUGUUGUGUUAUUUUCUUGUAUUAUUGUUUCAAAACAUUCAUCAACUUGAAACAAAAUUAAAUUUCUUGUUCUGGUUUCUAUUUUCAGUUUUCUACAAACUUUUACGAAUUUAUUACAACAUCAUCUAGAAACUUAUACUAAAUACACUCCAAAUUAUUGAUUUUAUCCUCGUAAUUUCAAAUAACGGAAUUGUAUCAUAUGACAACAAAAUUUAGAAAAAAACUGUUUAUAAUACAUCAUUUUUGUAUAUUGCGAAUAUGAUAAGUAAUUAAUGAUAUCAAACCGCCAUCAGAUGUCUCAAAUAAGAUCUGAAUUCAAGAGUAUUUAGCUGGAACUAUUAAUUUGGUAUCUAGCAAGUGAUUAAAAUCUAUCAAUAAUAAAACAUAAUAGUCUUUGCACAGAAUUUCUUAUAUAAUAAAUAAGACAUUAAAUUUUAAAUUUAAUCAAAUAGUGUCAAAUAGGUGAAGGACCAAGUUUUAAAGGUUACUUACUAAUUAAACACAAUAGUUUUUGACUUUUGUCAUAAAUAAAUGUCAAAUAGGUGAAGGACCUACUAAUUGUAAAAUUUUGAAGCUUAAUAACUAAUUAAACACAAUGAAAAGUUUUAUAGGCCUUUUAAAGUUUGGAAAUUCAUUUGACAAAGGUUUAAUGUUGGAGACUACAUUUAUUAUCUAAUUAAAAACAAUUUUGUUUUCUUUGAAAAAUCAUUCUACUUAUACCUAAAUUCUUUAACUUGCAAUAAAAAAAACAAUAUAUAUAGUAGACAUGCAAAUUAAAACAAUUUUGCUUUCAAAAUAUUAAAAAUGAAAAAACAAUAGGUUAUAAUUGUGAUACCUUUUUCCAUUGAUUUGAUAUGUCAAUGCAACAAAAUCUCUAAGUCUAUUAUUGUACUCUUUUAUAUAUUUUGAUAUGUUGGUUGGUUAAAUUGGUACUUCCAAUAUUGACUUCUAUAUCUGCCCACUGCUCUACUCUACCAUUGGGACCAACCUCUCUGCUCCAUUUCUGACUAAAAAAUCUUCCUUCAUUCAAAACACUAAACUCCAUAUUCUACUUCAAGAAAUCAAUCCCUUACCAUGGGGAUUUUUAAAAAAAUUUAUUUAUGAUGUGAUUUAAUCGUAAGCUUUAAACCCUAGCCAUGAUUUUUGCAUCUACCCAGGUUUGAGGUUUAAUUUCUUUUCUUUCUAUUGAAAAAACAAAUGUUGAUCAUAUUUGCCCUGAAAGUAAAAUUCGACACGACCUCGGUACUAGAUCAUGUGUGCACUUUUUAAAAAAUUAGAGAAAAGAAUAGGGUUUUGCAUAGAACACCCUUAUUUUUUUUUUACCAAAUAUAUACAUAUAUAAUAGUUAUUAAAAUUAAAAAAUAAAAUAAAAUAACAAUAGUAGAAUGAUGGUCAUUUCCAACAUUAAAUACAAUUGAGCAGACAUCUUCAAAAAUCUCAAUUAUUAAGAGAUAUAUAUCCUUCUUUUCUUCUUAGAUUGGAUCAAAUUAUAAGAACAUAAUAAUACUUUUUUUAGUUAACAACCAUGAAUAUGAAAUUAUUGAUCUUUGAUAGUUAAUGUCUUUUCUCUUUUUUAGCACUUAUUGGUUGAGUUAUGUGGUGAUGAUAAUGAUAAAUUUCAAAAACCAAUUUGGUUGACAUAAACAGCAUUUUUUCAAAAACUAAUUAUUGUUGUAAUUUGGGUAAAUACGAUAAUAUUAUAUUCACAAAUUUAAGAAUUAAAAAUAGCGGGAGUUUUGAGAGAGGGAAAGAGGAGAGGAUGAUGGAGAGAAAAAGAUGGGGGGAUGCCAUUAACAAAGCGCAACCCCCGGGUGCUGGUUUCUAUAUAUAUAUAUGAUCUUCACUUUAGCUUUUCUCUUCAUUCAUCAUAAUCUCUUCAUUCAUUCUCGGUUCAACUAUCUGGGUUUUUCUCUAAUUUGUUUUUGAAAUGUAUUCUCACCAGGUAUUUGUUCUACACCGAAUCUUCAUCAAGUUUUUUCAUUUGGUUUUCGGAUUUGAUCUUUUGAAUUCUUUCGCCUAAGUUUUUUUCAAUCUGUUAUUUUCUUAAAAUGCGGCAGCGACCUUCAAGUGCUUUCGACACUCCCUUCUGGACUACUAAUUCUGGUGCUCCAGUAUGGAACAAUAACUCUGCCUUGACCAUUGGAUCCAGAGGUAAACAAUUUGUUUUAGCAAGCUGAUUAAGCUAUAGAUGAGAUUGAGAAUACCAAACAUUGUUGUGGUUAUUGUCAUUUGUAUUUGAAUUAAGAUUAUUGAUGAUGAAUUAAUAUGCUUGAAAAUAGGACCUAUACUCCUAGAGGAUUACCAUCUUGUGGAAAAACUGGCUAAUUUUGAUAGAGAGCGGAUCCCAGAGCGUGUUGUUCAUGCUAGAGGAGCUAGUGCCAAAGGGUUUUUUGAGGUGACUCAUGAUAUCACCCACCUUACUUGUGCUGAUUUUCUUCGAGCCCCUGGAACUCAGACUCCAGUUAUUGUUCGUUUCUCCACUGUUAUCCACGAGCGUGGAAGCCCUGAAACGCUCAGAGAUCCCCGAGGUUUUGCUGUUAAGUUCUACACCAGGGAGGUAGUUAACGUUGUUAUUGCUUUAUGCUUUAUUGGUUCUACAUUAUCUUAUAAUUUCAAGACUUGAUGACAUUUAUAUAUUAAAAAGAAGCACAAGAUUGCGAUGACAGAUAUGAUUUUGGUAAUGAAAUUUUUAUCAGUUUAUUAGAUUAUAUGCCAUCACAUUCCAUCAGCAGGAUGUACAUAAUAUUUAUAUUUGUUUGUGCUGGAACAUUAAAUAUGGGAUUUGAUUCUAUUAGCUUUCAUUUGCUUAGAUGUAAAAUGUAACUACACGCUUUGAUCAAGCUUUGUUAUAUGACCUGAUUCAUGGUAAUGCAACAUUCAAGCGUCCUGUUUUCUUUCUCUCUAGGGCAAUUUUGAUCUUGUGGGCAACAACUUUCCUGUAUUUUUCGUCCGUGAUGGUAUGAAAUUUCCAGACAUGGUACAUGCUCUCAAACCGAAUCCCAAGUCCCAUAUCCAGGAGAAUUGGAGAAUCCUCGACUUCUUUUCUCAUCAUCCUGAAAGCCUACACAUGUUCACAUUUCUAUUUGAUGAUCUUGGUAUCCCACAAGAUUACAGGCACAUGGAUGGUUCAGGUGUUAACACUUAUACUCUGAUUAAUAAGGAAGGGAAAGUACACUAUGUGAAGUUUCAUUGGAGGCCUACCUGUGGAGUCAAGACUUUGUUGGAUGAAGUAGCUAUCCGUGUUGGAGGAAGUAAUCAUAGCCAUGCUACUCAGGAUCUCUAUGAUUCAAUUGCAGCUGGCAACUACCCUGAAUGGGAGCUUUACAUUCAGACUAUUGACCCUGAUCAUGAAGAUAAAUAUGACUUUGAUCCUCUAGAUGUAACCAAGACUUGGCCCGAGGAUAUCUUGCCCUUGCAGCCAGUUGGCCGCUUGGUUUUGAAUAAGAACAUUGAUAACUUCUUUGCAGAGAAUGAACAAUUGGCCUUUUGUCCUGCCAUUAUAGUACCUGGAAUCUACUAUUCAGAUGACAAAUUGCUUCAAACUAGGAUAUUCUCCUAUGCAGAUACUCAGAGGUAUCGUCUUGGACCAAACUAUCUCCAACUCCCAGUUAAUGCACCUAAGUGUGCUUAUCACAACAAUCACCAUGACGGUUUCAUGAACUUUAUGGAUCGAGAUGAAGAGGUAUUUCAUACUUAUUUUUUCCUGUCUUGUAUCUAAAAGUGGGAAUAUUUGUAGUAUUUCAUGUGCAUAAUUUUAGUUAAUCUGCAUUUCAUGGCUUAGCAUUUAAGAAGUAUAGAUACAAAUACAUCAUUGCAUGGACACAAGAACACAUCAUCUUUUAAAAAUUCAUAAUAACGGAGGACACAUUUACUGAAAUAUAUUUAAUUUUCUACUCGAAGAAAAUUAGUAAAUGAAUUGAGGCAUUUAUAUGCUUAAACAAAUUAGUUUAAUGCAUUUCACAUUCAAAAUUUCUUAUUUUGUCAUUUACGUGUUGUUUAGUGUACUCAACCAGAGUUUUGUGCAUGCCAACACAUUUGUUGGACUGACAAGUAUUUGCUAGGGAUGGACACGGAAGUGGCCAUGGUUGUUAUGCACAUUGAGCAGGCCCAACUUCUUGGUAAUUUGAUUUUUAUGGUAUUUUUCUUUGUUUUUCAGAUCAAUUACUUCCCUUCAAGAAUAGAUCCGACUCGCCAUGCCGAGAGGUAUCCUCAACCAUCUGCUGUUUACACAGGAAAGCGCGAGAGGGUCAGUGAUCAAUAUAAGUAUCUUUUGAAUGUUUCAACAUUAACUCCUUUUUGCCUUCUUUUAGAUUAACAAGUAUUCUAACCUUUUGAAAUUCGUAUUGCUAAAUUUAGUGUGUAAUUGAGAAGGAGAACAACUUCAAGCAGCCUGGAGAGAGAUACAGAUCUUGGCCAUCAGACAGGUAACUUUUUGAAUUUGUCUACAUUUUUGUAUAUAUUUUGAUCAUGUAACUGGAUUUGUUUGCUCGUUUGUUUAUAAAUGCCAGGCAAGAACGAUUCGUGGGUAGAUGGGUGGAUGCAUUAUCCGACCCUCGUGUCACCCACGAGAUCCGUAACAUCUGGAUUUCUUACUGGUCCCAGGUGUGUGAUGCUGUAUAGAUAUUAUGUGAAGUUGUGUAUGGAGGGAUUGUUUGUGAAAUAGAAUUAAUGGUUUGUUUUGAAUAGGCGGACAAGUCUCUGGGCCAUAAGCUUGCAUCUCAUUUCAAUCUGAAGAUAAACACUUGAAGGUACUAUUCACUUGUUCUGUAUGUUAUACGAAAAUGGGAGAAGCGAUUUGAGAUCUCAUGAAUCGGAUGCAGAUAUUAAUCCAUACUGUUUUAAUUUAUAGCAUCUUUUCAUAUUUGCAUAUCUCUCUCAUGUAACUAUUGGACUUAAAUACGUCCAAAUCUAAUAAAAAUAAAUAUUUAAGUUACUUAAUGCCAAAGUUAUUUUAUUAUAGCUCGCCACCUGACAAAUUCUUCUUAUAUAUUUCUUUAAAUAUUUUAAUUUCUUUUGUGUAAGAUAAGAGAUGCAUAGAAAUAAAUGUAUUUUGAUAUGUAAUCAAACUAUUCAUCAUCUAAUAAAGUGUUAUUUUAUUUGUGUACAAUUCUUUUCUUUUGUGUUAUGCUUUUAUUUCAAAAUUAGGUUGCUCAGUUUCAAGAAAUUUAGUCAUAAAUGAAAUAACUAUGUGAAGUUUUAUUUAAAAAAUAAGUAUGGAUUUGGGCCUUCCUAGAAAAAACAAUUUUAUUAAAUUCUCUUCUCUAAUUAUUUUUUAAAAAAUUUAAAAUGUUACCUAAAAAUUACUCUUCAAAAUUUGGAGACUAGAAAGAUAGUGAGACUAUUAGCUAUAAACAUUUGGGAUUUAUUACCUUCAAUCAAAAAAAUACAAAAUAAAAAACUUUGUUAAAGGGCUAAACUUAUAAUUCUAAGUCAAACAAUUUUUUUUACCUCAAUCAUCAUUCGGUUAUAUAUAUAUUUAUUUUAAUUUAACGUGUAGAAGUGGAAAUCUAUACGUCUAAAUUUUGUAUUUAAAGAUAUAAUUUUUCAACUAAUUGAACUAUGUUUAAAUUGUUAAUUCGACGUUGGAUGGGAUGGUAUGGCAUUGGGUAAGGUGUCACGUAAUUUUCUUUUUUAAAGAAUUUGUUUGAAAACUUCUCUUGACGUGCAAAUUACCACAAAUUUGGUUGCUUUUAAGUAUUUGAAUAAUAACGAAUGGGGGUGUAAUUUUGAAAGAGAAAGGGGACUUUAUUUUAUUCUUUGAAUUAAAAAGAAAGAAAACUUUUGUUUGAUUUGAUGUAUGUAUUAUGUAAUGUAAGAAAAAGAAUUAAAGGCCACUAUUUGUUUACAAAUUUGGGUAUGUUUAUCUAUUGGUUAGUGGGAUUUUUCUCAAAAAUUGACUUCUACUUCUGCUCAUUACUUCAUCAUUAGGACCAACCUAUUUUUCCCUUUCUUUCCUUUUUUCUCUCUCAAUAUUCAAUUAAUACAAUUUCUUCCAAAAUUUUAUUUUUCUUCAUUUUAUGUCCCAGUUAUAAAAUUGUAAAAAAAAAAAAACUAGAAUUUUUGACAAAAAUGUUUCAAUAAAUUUUGUUUUCUAGUAAUUUUAUUACGUGGUAAUUAGUUUGACAAAUUUUUCCACUUUUGAAAAAAUUCUUAUAUUUAAUAAUAAUUAAAAAAAUAUUUGACAAAAUAUCUAAGAUUUAUAGAAAAAUUAAAAGGUAAAUAAAAUUUGACUCUUGUUAAUUUUUUUCUAUUUUUGAAAAAUUCUUUUUAACUAUUAUUUUUGUACUUUUAGUUUCUUUUUAAUUAUUCAUGCUCUAUAAUAUGUUGUCAAUUCUACACCUUUUUUCAAUUCUUAUAAUUAAGAUGUUUAAUUAGUCUUCUCAUAUAAAAUAUUUUCUUUAAAAUUAACUAAAAACAAUUUUUUUUUUUUUGAGUAAAAAGAGAAAAAUGGGUUGAGGAAAAAUUUGUGGCCCAUUUUAAAAGACUUAAUUUUCAAGGCCCUCAUUUUCUUUAAAAAGCAAAUCUUACUUCUUAAUUAAAGGAAAAUGAAAGGGUGACAAAGAUGGAUUGCAAGGGGUCCCUAAACACAAAUGCAUUGUAAAACUGGGUAUCUAUUUAUCCAACUUUUUAAAUAAUAAUUGAUAUCUUAUAAUCUAUUUAAUUAAGGAUGAUGAUGGUAAUGACAUAUUUUAUUCUAUAUCGUGAAAACUAAAUAGAAACUAACUAUAAUGAGCUUGAAUUAUAAGAAGGAUAGAUUUUUCUCACCUAAAUUUUUACGAAGUUGUCGAUUUAGUUUAUUUGUAAUUUGGUAAGAUAUGAUUUAUUUAAACCUUAAAAAUUAUCUGCCAAUUAGCCUUUUAAAGAAAACCCUCGACUCUAUAUAUUUUCAUAUUUACUAUUUUAUGAAGUAUAAAUUGCAACCAUAUAUAAAUAUAAUUCGUGAGAUUUAACAAAAUCACAUAAAUGGAAACUUCUUAAAUUGGUUAAAUUGAAGCCAAAACUUAACUAAAGUAUUGUUAAUACCAAUACCUGUUUUAUCUUUUACUCUUUUUUUUUUCACAUCAAUUACUUUCGAAUAAUGUCAUCUCUAAUCCAAAAUUUAAAAACUUGAUAUUUGAGUUUUAAAAAAUGUUCCACUUUGAAAACUCGAGACUAGAAUACAUAUGUUUCGAGAACACACAAGCCAAACACGAACGUUCAAAAAAUAUAAUCUUUUAAAAAAGUACUUAUCAUGCGCAUAAAUUAAGUCGUUCGUAAAAUGAUGAGAAAUAAAGGUUAUUAAUUAUUCUAUGCAUGGUAUAACUUUUGGUCGACCAUGCAUAUGUUUUCAUCGAUAUUUCUACAAAAUUCCACGUUAAGAUGGGAAAUUAAUUAGAAAAUGAAUUUAGGUUAGUAGGGUGUAAGAAAUUAAAAGUAGUUUUGAGGAGAGGUUGUUAAGAAGGAAGAGAAGAAAGAAAAGAGAAAGGUUUUGGUUGAAGGGAUAGAUGAGAAUGAGAAAGAGAGAAUAAUUUAUGAGUGAAAAUGUUAAAACUCCAAAGCCGCCUUGUUUUUGAGUGUCUCAUCAGAGGAAGUAUGAGAAAUUCAAAUGGGACUAAUGGAAUGGAAUCAGAGAAAGGUGUGGUGAGGUUACGUUCUUACCCUCACUUUGAUUCUUCCAAAUUCUCUGUUGGUCCCUUUAACACACAGUUGUCUCUUUUGGUCAAUCAAAUGAGAGGUUUUUAAAUCACUUAUCCCCACACACACACACAUAUAUCAUAUAUAUCAUAUAUAUGGUAUAUAAAACAAACCACAAUCCAGCAUUAUCAUGUCCACCACCCCCUCCUCCUCUUCCUCUUUUUUAUGAUCAUGACAUUUCUUCAUUUCCUUUCCUUUGUUAUAAAAUUAUAUAUAGUCAAAUUUUAAUUAAAACAUAUUAUUUUUAUUGUUAUUAACAAAUAAAUAAAUGAAAACAACAUAAUCUUUCAACAUUGGAUCUUAAACACCAAGAUGAAAUGAUGUCAAAACCAUGUGAUCCAUACAAAUCUCCUUCUGUAAUAAUACACCACACCCACCAGAUAUCACACGCCUCUUUCUUUUCUUGUCAUCUAUUUAACUAAUUUAAUAACAACUUCCAUUUAUUACCUAUGUUUCCCCAAUUAGUAGGGUGGUCAUCCGUUAAACGGGUCGGUUUUGUACAAAAAUUGGAGACCAAAAACCGACCUAGUUGAAAUUAAUAAUAAUUGAAGAUAUUAGUCAAAACAAAAACUUACAAAUCCUUUGAUACCACGAAUUUGACCAAAGAAGUUUAUGCGGAUAGAAAACGUAUUAUUUAGUAUUACUUCCAAGAAAAGAAAUGAAUAGAGGGUUUAUGUAUUUAUGAGAAACUGUUUUUAUUGUGUUUUGAUGUAAGAGGUAGAAGGAAAGAAAGAAAGAUAUGUGUGAAUAAUGUAUAGAUCAAGAGAUUCAAAAGGUGAUACAUAUGGAUUAUAUUUGAAGAAGAGGAAGAGAUGAGAACAAGGGUCAGAAAUUAAUGGAUGAGUGUUGUGUUAACGAAGAAAGAAGGAGAAUAAAAGAACGAAUUUGAUUGUGUCAGCAAGGUGUGUAUAAAGGAAACCCACAUGGAGCAGAAGUCACAAACAAAAUUGAACUGAAUUAAAAUAAUGCAAAUGGGUGAUGAGCUCAUCUUUUGAUGAACUUUCUUUAGAUUUUUUUAUACAAAUAUUUUAAUGGUGGGUGUGGCUGACGUCUGAAUCUCAAACUUAUUUAAAUAUAAAUUAAUAAUUAAUAAACAAAAGCCAAAAGCUAAAUAAUGUUUACCAAAAAUUUCGCUUUUUAAUCUAAGUUUUGAUUAGUGGGAAGUCCAUUGGAUGCAGCGUAUGCAGACAGAUUGGUGCACAUGGCAGUAAAAAUUUAAACUUUUAAUUUUUAGUUCUUCAUCUCUUUCAUUAGCUUUGAGAUUGCAGGUAAUAAAUUAAAUUUAAUUGAUUUUGGAGAAAAAUCAGCAACUGGGUCAUCGUCUUUAUCGUCAAAUUUUAUAAAAUUUCUUUCCAAAAUCCAACUGGGUUUUGUUUUGUUUUGUUAAAUUAAUAUACCCAUCCUCCCUCUUGAGUCUUGAUCAGUUGGUGUGUGCUGGUGGAUUAUCCGAAGGAAGAUCAAGAACUGAUGUGGGUAUUUAUUUUGGAAGUGGGAAGAGCAUUGCUUUUGUAAUUAAUUAGUUUUGUACUUUUAAUUUAAAACCCUCUGAUUUGAAAGAUUCUGAUUCUGAUGGAUACUGUUUGUAUUUGUAUAAUUCUAUUCCGCUUACCCAAAUUAAAUAUUCAUAUCAAGCAUUAAAAGAUUUAUUCUUUAAUCUCAUCAAUGCCAUAUUACUUUUCACCCACACAUCACAUAAGCGAUUGAGAAAGCUCUGUUUUCCCAUUAGCUUUUCGUUUUCUUUGUUUUUUUCUUUCUGCGUGUGUGUGUGUGUGUGUUAACUGUUAAGAGAAGAGAGUGUGCAAGUUGACUUUACAGCGAGAAUUCCAAAGCCGGACGCAAAGGGGGAGUUGGGUUGAUGAAAAAACUUAUGUGGGGUCAUGCUCGAACUUCGAAGGAAGAAUCUUCAGCAUUAGAAUCAUACUGAAUAAAGCAGUACUUACAAGGAAAGGGGGCUGAAGAGAGGCAUUAUUGGGAGAAGGACUUUGGUAUUUUUGUGGUUUUGGGCUGCAAAAAUGAAAAAAGCUUUCUGAAGAAAUCAUUCUUCAUUUCUGCAGAGUUUCUCGUGUUCCUAUUCUUCAGACACUUCUUCUUCCUGCCCAUUUCAGGAACAGUGCAGGAAUUAUAUAACUAACCUUUUGGGAAUCUUUUUGAAUCUUUCAAAUUUGUGAGUUCAGAACUAUUUAUUCUUCUUUGUUGGGUUUCCUCCUCCUUCUUCCUCUUCCUCUUCUUCUUCCUCUUCCUCUUCCUCUUCUUCUUUGUUUUGGAAUUUUUGGUGUGUUUGUUAGGUUGUCUUUCUUAGUGGGAGAAUCAGUCGGUGAAACUUUGGCAAAUAUGAUUCUGAAAAGAAACUUUAUUGUAUUUUGAUCCUACUUUCUUUUUGUGCUUUUAGUGAAUACUAAGCUUUUUUGACUGUGGGGUUUUCUCUGUGUUUGUUAAAAGUCUCCUUCGGUGGCUAACUUUGUUCUCUGAAGCUGUCCUUGUUUCAUAUAGAAUCCACUGAAUAUGUUUCUUAUAAUAUUCAACAGGUUGGUUCUUCCUAAACAUGGAAUGGAAUUUCUUCUUCUGGGUUUGUAUCUGAUAUUGGAUCGGUUUAAGAAGCUAUAUCUGAAUCAGUGGUAAGAAGUUCGUUCAAAGCAUCUUGGAGUUUUCUGGGGAGUUCUCUUUUAUGGACGAUGGUAUGUUAUCACCAGCUACAAUGCUGGAUGCUCCAGCUGAAACUGCCAUGGAUUUGGACUACAUGGAUGGGUUGUUUUUGGAUGGUUGUUGGUUAGAAACAGCUGAUGGUACCGAGUUUCUUCAUACUAGCCCUUCAAGCUUCGGUGUCAACUUAGACGCUUUGAUUGGAUGGCCUGCUACAGAGAUGAAUGGUGAUUUUAACAUGACCCAGAUUUCAAGAAGUAAUCAAGAAGAAGAAAGGAAAAUCUCGACUGAUGAGAUGUCUUUGGGGAGGAAAAGAAUCGAUAUGGGGCAAGAAGGAUGCUCUGGUCAGUCAGAAAACAAUGGUUUUGGAGGUUCUGAAUUGUGUAGAAGAUUGUGGAUAGGACCUGGGGAACAUCUGGGUACUCCAACUUCUGUGAUGGAGAGAUUGAUUACAGCUGUUGGGUAUAUCAAAGAUUUUGUAAGAGACAAAGAUGUUCUUGUACAAGUAUGGGUGCCUAUAAAUAGAGGGGGAAGAAGUGUUCUCAUCACAAAUGAUCUCCCAUUCUCUCAGAAUUCUAGCUGCACAAGACUCACUAAAUAUCGCGACGUCUCUGUGACAUAUGAAUUCACUGCUGAUGAAGAUUCUAAAAAAGCUUUGGGAUUGCCUGGUCGGGUUUUCUCGAGGAAGGUUCCAGAGUGGACUCCUGAUGUUCGAUUCUUUAGAAGCGACGAAUACCCGAGAGUCAAUCAUGCUCACGAACACGAUGUACGUGGAACUGUAGCACUUCCUAUUUUUGAACAAGGUAGCAAGAACUGUUUAGGAGUCAUUGAAGUUGUCAUGGUUACCCAGCAGAUCAAAUAUGGUUCAGAACUUGAGAAUGUUUGCAAAGCUCUUGAGGUUCGUCUCUUUCAUAUUUUAUCUUCAAAUUUUUACCUUUCACCUUUUAUCCUUCUUCUUUGCUACAUUUACUUCAUGGCUAACAUGACAUAUGAAUUCACUUCAUGGUUCGGAUUUGUUAAAAUUGUAUAUCAUUAAUUUCUAUCAUUGGACUCGUAGAAAAACAGCUUAAAAACUCAUGAACUCACAAACAUACAAGAAGUGUUAUUUCCUUUAUCAACGCUUGAAUGUUUAAAUAGAGAAAAAGAUGGUUGCUUACUAAUAGCCUAUAAGGUCAGUAGUUUAAUGGUAAAGAAUUCGUUUAAAACACUGCUUUUUGGUGUCAUUCAUGAAUCAAAACUAUCCUAUCUGUUUAUGUGAAUUUGAUUUCUCAACACUGAAGAUGAAUCGGGGUCGAGAUAAAACUUUGUGGAAGUUCGAAGUACGGUGUUGACAUUUUUGUUUUGGCUGCAGGCAGUCAAGCUUAGGAGCUCUGAUGUUAUGGGCCACCCGAAUAAAAAGGUAACUGAAUGAAAUUCAUUUGACAGAACUGAAUAUGCAACAUUUUUCACGUUGUUCAUUUGAACAUCAAAUUUUUAUUUGCACUAAAAAUCUUAUCUCUUGAUCCUCUCUUUCAGCAGGUAUUUAACAGGUCCAACGAAGCUGUAUUACAAGAGAUUCAAAACACUUUGAAAUCAGCUUGUGAAACGCAUGGCUUGCCUUUGGCACAAACCUGGGCAUCGUGUAUGCAACAAAGUAGAGGGGGUUGCCGGCACUCGGAUGAGAACUACAGUUGCUGCGUAUCUACGGUAGACCGAGCUUGCUUUGUUGCCGAUCAGCGAAUUCAGGAAUUUCAUGAGGCAUGCUCUGAGCAUCAUUUGCUAAAAGGCGAAGGCAUUGUUGGGAUGGCAUUUAAAUCUAACGAGCCAUGUUUCUCAAGUGAUAUUACGUCCUUUUGUAACACAGAAUAUCCUCUUUCUCACCAUGCCAAGCUGUUUGGAUUACAUGCUGCAGUUGCAAUACGCCUUCGUUGCAUUUAUAUUAGUAAAACUGAUUUCGUACUAGAGUUCUUCCUGCCUGUAAAUUGUAGAAAUCCUGAAGAUCAGAGAGUGCUACUCACUUCAUUGUCCACAAUUAUACAACGAUCUUGCAGGAGCCUGCGUCUAGUAACAGAUAGGGAGUGCAGCGAGGAAAAUAUGCAACAAUCUUAUAGAAGUUUACAUCUUGUUACAGAUGUUAAACUUGGGGAACAAAGCAAGUUUCCAUUUGGAGAGGCAGGUUUCGUUGCAAAUGGAAGAUCCGCUAUGCAGGAAAUGAGUAAGGUACAAAACCAUCAGUUAGAAACGAGUCAUCCAACAACUUCAUCUGUUCAAAACAUCCAACAACAUAGUGGCUUUGUCUCAUUUUUCCAGGGGGGCAAACCAUCGGAAGUCUUAAGUUCCUCUGGUUACCAGCAUCGUGGAUUUAAUUACGAUCUGAACGGAGUUGUCGAGGACAGUGAAGAGUGCGCAACUGUUGGUAAUGGUAGCUUUCCUGAUGUAGGUUUGGGAAAAACUGGUGAGAAAAGACGAACCAAGGUGGACAAGACUAUCACCUUACAAGUUCUUCGGCAAUAUUUUGCGGGUAGCUUAAAAGAUGCUGCAAAGAGCAUUGGAGGUACUAAUCUACUGUUUUAUCUGGUAAAGUUUUAGUGCAAAUUAUAUAGUUUUUCCUCCUUUAGACAUAUGAGUCUUGAAAAACGGCCUAUAUAUACAAGUAAUGUAACUAAGUAUGUUUUAGCUUGAAAUAGAAUCAUGGUAGGCUGCUUUUGGAAGUGUUGAAGAUAUGAGUUAUUGUCAUAUGCUGUUUUACAUCUUAGUGAAGAUAGCUGUGAACUUUUAACAUUCUUUUUAUCAUCAAAAUUUUUCAUCUUUAACUCAUUUCCUUCCUAUUUCAGUUUGUCCUACCACAUUGAAAAGGAUAUGUCGGCAACAUGGGAUUAAACGUUGGCCUUCUCGGAAAAUAAAAAAGGUCGGUCACUCAUUGCAGAAACUCCAGCUCGUAAUUGACUCGGUGGAAGGCGCAUCUGGUGCUUUUCAAAUUGGAUCCUUGUAUUCUAAUUUCCAGGAGUUGGCGUCUCCAAAUCUAUCAGGUUCAGGUUCAGGUCCACCUUUUGGUGCAAAGAUGGGAGAUUGCCUGAAAACAUCAAAUGAAGUUGGUAUGAGCAACCUCCAAGGUGCAGCAUCAAAAUCUCCAUCCUCUUCAUGUAGCCAAAGCUCGAGUUCGAGCCAAUGCUUUUCUAGUCGAAGCAAUCAAAAUCUUCCCCAUUGGAACGAAGCCGGAAGUGAAGAUCAAAUGGGUGGUGGAGUGAAUCCUUGUGAUGGAGAGCUAAAGAGGGUCAAAAGUGAAGUAGAGAUACAUGUAUCGAUUAUGGAAGGAUCAAACGUUCCACGAAGAUCCCAAAGCUGCAAAUCUCUAUGCAAACAUCCAGCCACAGAAUGUGCAAUGCACACAGCAAAAGAAAGCAAUGGGAUGGCGGAAGCAGUCGAAGUUCAGAGAGUAAAAGUCAGCUUUGGGGAGGAGAAAAUCCGUUUUCGAGUGCACAACCGGUGGGGAUACGAAGAGUUACUGAAUGAAAUCGCAAAACGAUUUAGUAUCAGUGACAUAAGUAAAUUUGAUCUCAAGUAUUUAGAUGAUGAAUCUGAAUGGGUGUUAAUAACAAGUGAUACAGAUCUGCAGGAGUGUUUUCAUGUUUACAAAUCAUCUCAGGUCCAAACAAUAAAACUAUCGCUUCAGGUGUCUCGUCGCCAUAAGAGAAACUAUCUUGCAAGCAGUGGCUUCUCAUGAACUUGCAAUGACAGACAUUGCAAGAAAGCUAAUGGAGGAGCCACAAAUCUUCUUCAUUUCCCAUUUUCUAAAAGGACUCAAAUUUUACAACAACAACAACAACAAAAAAAAAAAAGGGUCUUUGUUUUUAGAUUUUCAGGUGGAAACUGGAAAGUGGAAAGUGGAAAGGCAUGAAUGAGUAUGCAAAUAUAUUUUCCUGAAUUUGAAGACAAGAAAGUCCAUUCAACUAUUGAAGGCAUCUUUUUGUGCCUUUGUUUUAAGAAGCAAGCCAAAGGUUGUGUCCUUUGGGGUUACAUGUUGGCAAUGCCAUGACAAGUGACAACUACCUCGUAUGUAAAUUACCUCUCUUCUUUUUUUCCCUUUUCUUUUUGGCAAUUGGAAAAAUAGAUUUCUUUUUCUUUUUGACUUUUGGGGUUUGUAUGUAAAUUUGACUUGUUGAGGGUGACAUAAUUGUGGCUGAGCUGGGAAAGACUUUUUUGAAGAAACAAAUAUUUUAUAUGCUCUGACAUCAACUUCUCUGUUGGCAAUAAAAUUAUGGAUAAUAUUUAUUGCAUAUUAUUGUUAUUAUUAAAAUUUCAAUGGAACUCAUUCAUUCAUUCAUUCAUUUGAAAAAUGAGAUUCGGAUGAGAACGUAAAGCAAAGCAAGAAUCCAGUUGAUAUGGUGCGAUGGGUGGCAGCUAAGCUUCCGAUUUUAUUCUUCUCUCAAGAAUCUUCCCUAUCCAAUUCACCAUAGUGCUAUGCUAUCAAAUUCUCUCUAUUUUAUUAUUAACAACUCCAAAUUCUUUUCUUUCUUUUUUUUUUUCUUUCUUUAUUCUUACAUAGUUUUAAUUUUAGGGUUCGUCGAGGUCGUUCUAGAUAGCAAUUUACAAGAGAAAGGAAAAAAUAAAAUAAAACAAGUAUUAUUUUAAUAUAAUUAAUUAAUUUGACCAUUUUGAUGUUUGAUUUAUAGUCUCAACACUAAUUUAAUUACAAUUAUUUAGUUAUUCGUAAAAUGUUGGUUAUAGUCUCCAAAAAAAAAAAAAAAGAAAAAAGAAAAAAAAAACACUUCUACGUCAUAUUUAUUUAUUUAUUGUUUUAUAUUAAGCUAGAAGUAUCAUGAACGUGCUUUCCCACAAAACAUUUUUAAUGUUGAGUUGUUGGUAUCUUUGCUAAGAAAAUCCUAGUAGCUCCAUUAGUAUUUUGUAUCUGAUUCUAAUCACCAAUAUAUGGUAUAAAAAUAUUUUUUGUACAGGAAGGAACAAAACGGUGAGUGAAUAAAAUAAGUGAUCAUAUCCCAGCUUGGGUUGUAUUGUAUUGUAGCUACUUAAUUUGAUGAGAAAUAUUUAUUCCUUCUUCCAUCAAAAUAAUUUUUAUCAUACUUUUGACUUCAAUUUUUCCAACAUAACUAUUGAUAAUUAUUUCAUGAUGUGAUUUGGGAGUUUUGAAAAUCAUGAGAACUGACGCAAGCCAAAAUGGUCUAUUCAGUGCGGAAAACAUGUUUACUUUAAAAUCAUUGGAUUCCAUUGAUAAUUUAUGUCCCAUACUCCCAUUGUUGUGAUCAUAUAUUAUAAUUGAAGCAACAAAAUGAUCAAAUUCAACAACAUAGGCGAAGUGAGUGAGGUUGAGUAGGUAAAAAUUACUAUGUACCCUACUUCCUUUGAGAUUAUAGCAUGUAUGUAUAUUAAAAACAUAAAAAUAAACCCCUCAGCUAACGUGAAAAUAACUCAUCUUAUAAAUAGGAUAGCUAAAUUAGCCAUUAAACAAAGUGCUAUAAUUGGAGGUGGGAGAAUUUUGUGACCUCUAGUUCAAACAGCAAUGGAUGCUAAAGGGAAAAAAUAUAGCUUCAUGAGCAGUCCUGAUCGAAUAUCUAAUCACCAAGAAAAUCAUUAACAGCUCGAUGAACAAACCUGCAUAGCUACUUUGGAUUUUUGAAAAUUAAAACAAGAAUAUUCACUAAUUAACAUGAUGAUCAACGAUAUUAGAAUUGUCUGAUAUCGUUAAUCUUAACUUAAAUGGUUUUUUUUUUUUUGGAUUGUAGGGAAGCAACGGCUUAUAUAAAUUACAAAUUAAGAAAAUAACUUACACUAACUUGUAUGGAAAUUUCACUAUACAACUUAGAAGCUACUAUAUAUAAAUAUAUUUUCUUUCUUUCCUUUCUUUAUUGGCGUUUAAGCAUGUGUGUGUGCCAAUGAAUGAAUGCGCCAAACCUUCGAAAGCCUACCAAACCCUUCUUUGGCUCUUCAUCUGUGAUGCAAAUUCAAUUAUAACUCUUUAUGACUGAGACGAAGUAGAGGGUCGAUUGUCCUGUUGCUCGACGAAUACACAUCUCGAAGGUGGACCGAACAAGCUCAACACUACCUGCAGCAAUAGAUGAUGUUUUCAUAAAUACAUGUCAAAUUUGAUUGGGUGAUUACAUUGCAGAAUAUCAAGAAUUUGGUAUAAUUACCCAUCACAAUUCAUCAAAAAGGUACAAUAAGGAAAUAUUGUAGAUCAAAUAAGGAGAAAUAUCCAAAAUGGUGUAAGAAAUUAAUUAGUGAAAUCAAAUUUUCACGUGCAAAUGUGGUCUAAUAAGUUACACGAAUAACCCGAACCAAUCCAACCCAAACUUGCACCUAACAACCUCUUGUACAGAAGAAGCACAUCUAUACUUACCGGCAAGAAUACGAGGCCGUGCAAAAACCCAAGAAGAACUAAUGCCAAGUACACAUGGAAAUAAUAGACCUGCAGAACAUAGAUAGAAGAUAUAAAUGGACCUCGCAAAUAGAUUACUUAAAAUUGAAAUUUUGGGGGAGAUGAGGGGGGUUUGAAAUUAAUACCACAAAAACUUCAGUUCUAGAGAAGCAAAGUACAAGGACCCCGACUAGCUUUGUUAGUGUGAUUCCACUGCAAAACAUCAGUAUAAAAUAAAUGAAUACUGGCAAAUAAAUUGGAUAAAGAAUGAUAAAAACUAAACGAGGUUAAUUUUCCAAGAUUUCAUAUCUAAGCAGAGCUCCACUAUAAGACAUCGCAAAUGGUACCUAAGAACAGAUGCUCCCAUUGUACUAAGAGCCUCCUUCAUCCGUUGAUUCCUAUCUCCGCUGCUUACCUGUGAGGGAAAGGAGGAUAAACAAUAAAUAAAUAAGAAAAUGCACGAGUAGUGAUAGCAGUGUAUAACCAAUUCUGAUUGAGAGAUUAUAGGCUGUCCUUUGUGGCAACGGUAUGAUCAUUAUGCCUCUAGUCACUAGUUUAGCCAAAGAUGUUAAAUAAUCCGACUAAUUUCCGUAUGAUACUAAUUGUUAAGUUGUGGAUUUUAUAUUACACAAAGGAAACUCCCUAUGAAAAGAUUAUGAAUAUGGUUGACUUUUAGUAGAGUGCAUUAAUGAAAAAUGAAAUCAUGUACUGACCGAGAAAGCAUGUGUCAAAUGCACACAAAAUUCAACAGCAAUUCCCACAGACAUGACAAGAUUGACGACAGAGAUUGCGUUCAAUUGGAUAUUCAAAAUUGCCAUCACGCCCUGCAAAGUAUUAUCUUGUCAGCAAAGGGUAAGAUUUAUAUAAACAUCUGAUAGAUAUUAAAAGAAUUAAACUAACUUCUAAUAUAGCAUUCCAGAGAUAUUUAGGUAUAAAGAAAAUACCAUGAGAUCCACAAUAAUCAUUGCCAACACCAACAAAAUGAUAGCCGAGGUCCAUAAGCUACGACAAAGAAAUCAAGCACGAGGAAGCUUAGUUAGCACAUUUGAAGAAGAGAAAAAUAUCUGUUUACGUGAAUGCCAGAAACACCAUCACUAACCUGCAUGUGAUGAUCAGGCACACAAUAAAAACCGCACCUGGAAAGGAGUAAAAGAAUUUAAAAUCAGUGCUUUUCAACCUUUCAGUAUCACCAAGACAUCAUUUACAGCUUUUUGGGGAUAAGAAUUUUCCUUAAAAGGUCUCGUAUAAAAAUAAGUGAAGGAAAAAUAAGCACAAAGCGCUUGAUAUCAUCAUCACGGAGGACAAAGUUGUAUUACAGGAAGUGCAAGGUAGCCUUCCACACUAUUUAUUAAACAAAGCACGCACAAAUGUCCUUAUUUACUGACCAAUAGCAAUGGCAAGGUUGAUCAAUGCUGUCCUCCAUAUAUUGAGGUAUUGCUCAAAAAACAUGUAAAAUACAGAGUAUGGAAAGAUCUCUAUCUGCAAAUGACAAGGAGGGUAAGUUCAAGAUUAAGCUAAUGCAACAGAAGCAAGUAGUUCAAAGAAAGAAUUAAGGUUAAAUAGUGUUCAAAAGCAGUUCGUCCCUGAAUUCAAUCAAAUGUUGAAAUCAAGUGAAAGGCAAAAUUAUUGGUUCAAAAUAACAUGAUAAGAAAGAGAAUCAAACUAAAAUUGUAGUUGAAAAUUUUACCUUCAAAGAAUCAGAAAGCCUCGAACUCAAUUCUUGAGCAGCCCUCAUUGAAUUAAUAUAGUCAACCUGAUAAUUUUUUAAUAUUUACAAAAAUCAAGAACAUUUUUCUAAAACAAGAAUUAUAUUCUUUACAUACAACUAUCUAAAUCACAAUUAGUAACCGACCACACCACACCUGCUUAUUCAGGGGAGUAUGGUAUGUUCUGAAAGAGGAUGCUUGAAUAACACCAUUUUCAUAGUCUAGUGAAUAAAAAAUAAAAACGAAAGUGUUAGAUUAAGGUAGUAAGAAAUAUUCCACUCUGAGUUAGCAUAUUAUUGUCCAAUAAUGCAAUAGAAGGAAUUCAAUCCUGCAAACCUUUCAGAUCAACACUGCUGGUGUAUGCCCCAUGACCUCCUUUAGCACAAUCAGCAGAAGGUAGAGCACUAAGGAACCAUGGCAAUUUCUCCUUAAAUUGGGCAGUAGAUGGCCUACCACCAUUUAGAUCCGAAUGAAGAAAGCACUGCAUAAUUCCUAAGCAUUAAUAUUUACAAAUUUUAGGAUGAAAUUAGCACCCAUGACUCAGGAUUGGCUGCUAAUUUAGCAAAAUACUGAAAAGCAACCAAGGAGAAGUUAUUUGUUAUCUGUAAUCCAACUUAAAGGGAGUCGUUACCGUUGUACAAUCUUUGCAUACUCCAUUCAGACCACAAGAACCACCACCACCGCUUGAAGUACAGCAAGGGGGCUGAAAAAGACUAAAUUCAGUAAAUUUAAGAAGAUAACGUACAGGGCACAGAAACUACCAACAAUUCUCAAAAUUUUCAAAAAAUAAUGAACCAACUAUUAUCACCUCACCAAUAUAUCUUAUAAUUGGUAAAAUAUAAAACAACCACGUAGUUACAAGUAAAAUGAACUUCAAAGGGUAAAAUCAUUGCAUCAGAAAGAAGAGAAAUAAAGAUAAAACCAAAUAUAGAAAACCAAACCAAUUGUGGAAUCAACAAUAGUUUGCAGCUAUGCCAUGAUGUUAUUUCACAAGAAAUUUUUCAAAGGAACCACAUGACCUGAUCAUCAGGGGGGCAAUAGCUCCCAUUUGUGAACUUCCGACAACAUCCAAAUGCUUCGGGAGAUAUCCACACAAGAUAAUCAUCAAGCCAUGAAGCAGCUGGUUUGGCAAUGAAACUUGACUCUGGUAUUAGUGAAGCUUUUGCAAUCUACAGGAAAGAGGAAAAAAUAAAGACAUAAAAAUCCUUGGUUUGAAAAAAAUAAUGUGACAUAAGCCAUAAUAAAACAGCAAAAAAUUUGGAGCACAUAAAAAAUAUUGGAAAAGACAUACAUUUUCCUGUGAAAAUGAAAUGGCGAUAGACAUACCUCAUUUAAAAGAGAGUCUGAGUCACAUUGACUGAUGGAGCAUAAUUGGUUUGUCUGUCUUGAUUCUGAGCUGAGCAUAGUAAGAGAAUAUCAGCAUGGCAACAAGAGAGAGAGAGAGAGUAUAUGAAAACAGUCCAUCCUCGAUAUUACCACUUUUGUAUUACAAAGGCUUGUACUAUGAUAGUUACCAUGUUGUAGAGAAUCCAUAUAAAAUAUAUAUUACGGUUCAUCACAAAAUGGUAAAGGACUAUAUCAUGAAAAUAGGUUGGCACAGUAUAUUUAUUUAGAGUUGAAAGGAAACCAUACUUUUGAGACAUUAAGUGAAAAGAAUACCUUCAAUAACUGACAAAUUAAAAAAUAAUUCCACUAACGUUUAUUUUCCUUAGAAUGUAACAAAAUAAAAUGAAUUUUUUUUAUUAAAUAUCACUUGAAGAUAUAAACUUCGUCAUAAAGUUCUACGCCUGGUAAAUUUUAAAUUCUGAGACAAAAUAUAAUGUGACAGCCAAAGAUAGCAAAUAAGGGUAGGCGUAGGAACAAUAUGCUAACAAAAAUGGUAAAAGGCCCCAUGUUCUUUCAACACUUCAACUUCUAAAAAUUGCAGAAUCUAUACUAUAAAGUGCAACAUAGGGAGCCAUAAAGUCCAUAAAAUAUGAAUGUGAACAAGAAUAAUACUUGGUCCCGACCAACACUAAAUGUUAUAAACUAACUACAAGAUAGAGUGCAGAACCUAAACCAUUAAACACCACGGAGAGCCAUAUAAAUCCGUCAAACAUGAAUGUAUACAAGAAAAAUAAUUGGUCCCAAUCAGUUAUAAGUAUUAUAAACUAACCACAAGAUAGAGUACGUAAUUCUUGUACAGUUUUACCUGUAAUUGUAGUUCUUUACAACGAAAUAUACCGGUGGACCUAUUCUGAGAUGUUCAGAGAUGUUAUUGAAGUACCCCUGCAUUAAAAGUAGAAGCAGCUUUUACAUGACAGGCAAAUAAAUAGUGAAAUAAGUGGUUUCGGGAUGUAACUAUAAGACAAAAAGGCAUCCCUUCAAAAUAUAUAAUAAAACGAAUAAAAAUAAAAAACCUGAAGAUAAGAAUCUUUGGGUAGCACAAUCUUUUGUUCCAAACCAGCUUCAAUUCUGGUGCACAAAGCCUGUGAAUUUGGAAUAAAGGAAAAUUAACAUCACAUAUAAACAACAUGGUCGGGGAAACUAAUAGCUAGACAACAGAUCGAGAACUUACUAUGCUUGCCAAUGUGAACCCAACAAAGAUGGAUAUGACUAUUAUUUUGACUAUCCAGAUGCUAAGUGCUGGUGCAUGGAUCUCCUGGAUAGAUAAAAAAUGGAGCGUGAAAUAGAAAACAGAACAAUAAUGAAAUGUCAAAUGUUAUGCAAAAGUUGACAUUAGGAAAAGAUAAAUACUUCAAAUUAACUGACAGUGUAAGAGGACAACUCCAACGAGAAGCUUGAACAUUUACAUAAACUUUCAUGAAUUAUAUCCAUAUUUAGGUUUAGAGUAUGAUUGGAACGAAUGAGCCAAAAACAAAACAACUUUUAAAUCAAGAACAAAAGAAAUGGCAUUGUCUAGAUUCAAAGUAGAAAUCAAGCUCCCAAAAAGAGAAAUCAACUUUUAUUUAUUUAUUUAUUUUCCUUCUAAAUAUCCCACAGUUCCCUUGGACACAAGUGGAAUUUCUCUGAUUAAAAUUUUAAUAAGUUAAUAUAAAAUACCGGUGGAUUGAGCUUCAGAAAGAAGAGAAAAGAAUUUGUAUUACAAUUAGAAAGUUACCUUCAUGUAUCGAGCUAACAAGCCAGGAUUCUUCUGAGUGAUACCUAAAUAAUAUUCAACAAGACAAGGCAUCAUCGCGAAUUGCAUCAAUAAAUCAGAACAAACGUAUUUAAAAAGAAAAGUAGAACAAGAUAUAAGAAGUGUGAAAAUACUACCUUUAUCACUGCCAGCAUAUCUUGAGCUCUUAAUACAAGGAAAGCAGUCCACUCUCUUAUCCUCCGUUCUUAGAAAAUCAAAUACUAUUAAAGCAACAAAAGCUGUAACUUGAAGCAGGAAGUCCAGAAGAACGGCUAAUGCUGUAUAAGAAAAUGAAAAUGGUGAUUGGAGAACUAUGCCUGUCUCAAUUAAGAAAAUGAAAAUGCUAUAUAAGAAUCCUUGAGGGCUUUCCAAUGGAUAAAAACUCAAACCUGCAAACAUGGAAAAAACACGACAUGCUGGCAUAGGAAUGAAACUUCCAACUGCAAAUGCAAGAACCUCAGAUAAACUUGCUAGUGUUAUGGAUGGUCCAACUUCUACAAGUGCAUUACUAAUUCGUCCUUCCAAAGGCAAUUCUACUGACUGCCGUUUAACAGCAUGUACCAAUAUACACAUAUUAUCCACCCCAACCUGAUAUUUAGAUGAGAAAAUUUAUUAGAAAUGAAAGAUAAAAAGGACUUCACAAAAGAGUGCAUCAAUAGUUAUGGUUUUGACAAUAGAUCCAAGAUACCAUCAAGAUUUAAGAAGACAUUAGCCAAUCAGUAUUCAGUGGAUAUACAUUUUGAGAAAGAUAUAUAUUAUACAAGGCAAUAAUAGGUUAUCAUGCUUAAAAAGACAGAUUCAGCUUGUUCACUUCAAACAAAAUUGUGAUAAAAUGCAUAGAAAUCUUGGGUAUAUAGAGCUCACUGUAAGACAUAUUCUCGUCCCAAAAAUUUAAAUUUCGAAAUACUUGCCAAUAGCAUGUGAACGUGUUGACAAGUAACAUGACAAUCUCAUUCUUCAGCCAAACCAACAUAUUCUAAGGUUUAAAGUUUGAACAAAGUUCUAGGUUAUACAAAUAACAACCCACUCCCUAUAUGAGUACCCAGACAGAAGAACAAGUAUGAAGCAACAAAAAGUGUAAUCUUAGAAAAUAUGGUAGAUAGUAUUGACCCAGUUUCCACUGGGCAUACAAAAAAGGACACAGAAGUUCAUCAGAUUUGCACAAUAUGUUGAACUGAUAUGAUCAUCUGUGCACGAAGUCCAACAAAACAGAAUCAGGAGUGCAACGACGGGAAAAGAAAGAACUUACUGCCAGAACAAGGAAAGGAAUGACUUCCAUAAUGAUUAGAGUAGAUUUAACUCCAAUUGCACUGAAAAAACCUACUGAUGCAAGAACAGACAACAUGACAAGUACAACUCCAGAGAGACCAAGUAACACCUGUUCAUAGAAGAGAAACAUAAGCUACUAAUCCAGAAAUUCCAACGCUUGGGAGAAAACAUCUGUGAGUUAGAGAAUAAUCUGACCAAAGAGGAAAAGAAAAUAAAAGAUGAAUGGCCAAAGUAGAAUUAAAUUAAGUUCUAAGAGCGCCCAUUGCAUACCUUUGAUGAAACGUAAAAAGUAGAUAAAUGUGGUCUAUCACCCAAAGUAAGAGAUAUGUAAGCAAACAUCACAAGAUAGCUUAUCUGCAGAUAAAUUACGUAAACAGGGUGAAUAGACAAUUAGAAGGAAAAUUGGCAUGAUGGAAAGUGACCUCCACACUAAAUAAAAUAAAAUAAAAUAAAAAGUACAAUGCAAGUAUCUGGAGAAAAUUACCAUAAAUAAGGACAGAGAAUAAAAAUUUAACUGAACUAUACAAAAGUUUAUCUCUAGAAAAGAACUAACCAAGAUCGUGAUGACAUCAGCAGUACUCUCUCUUUUUAAUUCUUCUUCAAUGGAGCUUUCCGAAGAAAAAGAAAGCGUCAAAUUUUGAGAUUGCGUCAUUGUCAAUAACUCAGCCUAUCACAAAAGUAGAUUAAUAUUGAGAAAUUCCAUUCAAUCCUGGGAAGGACAGACACCAUAAAAUUAUAUCAAAUUAUAAACAAAUGAAGGAAGACACUACAUCCAAACAACUGGAUCCCCAGAGUUAUAGAGCCUAGGAUUAAGAGGAACGAGGUUAGUAAGAAAAGUAGGAAAGUUGAAAGCAAACGUUUGGAAGUACAGUAGAUUGAGAUUCAUUGGGCUGUGAAUGUAAAUGGUUCUCGUUCUAUGGGAGGAGAAACUUGUAAGAAUUGAUUUUUUAUUUUCUUAUUAUUAUUAGAAAAGUAAUAAUUUUUCAUUAAUAAAAAUAUGGAAAAUGGACAAAUUUUGUUUAAUCUAUUACUUCAUAAUUAUAAUUACAUCACAUAUUUUCAUCUUUAAUACCCAUAAUCUUAUUGUAUUAUUUGUUUAAAUUAUUGAAGUAUGAGUAAAUUUUUAAAAAAUAAAUAAUUGGUUAUUUUUAAGAAAAUUAUUUCAUGAUGAUUGAAUGGGGAGGAACUAAAUGCCAAAGAUUAACUUCGUUCAUCCCAAACUCAGGUUGGGAUUAGAAAACUAAGGAUGAUUAAACCCACAGCCCAAAACUCAACUCCGAACACCACCUUAAGAACGAAGAAAAAAGAAGAUUGUUUUUUAGGUAAAGCUACAAAGAAAUUUCAACUUGAGGCAGUUUUUCACACAUGGAAGUCACAAAAAAUGAAAAGAGCACAUUUUCACAUAUGUCACAAUGAAAGUAAGUAUAACAAGAUAGUACAAUUUAAAGAAAGUAAAAGCCACAGCCAACCUUAGCCAACUGAAUGAAGGCUUUCUCCCAAGCCACAGCUGGUCCAGAUUCAUUCCCUUCUUUAUUAAUAGCAUUGUUUACUGGGUAAGUUAUUAAGAAUGCAGAAGCCUGUCUUGAAAAACUAUGGUCAGAUAACUAAGGAGAUUAAUUUGUUCAAUUUAGAUUACCAACUAACAAGCAUAGUAAAUUACUUCUGAAUAAUUGUUCCCAGAGAAUCCACCUAAUGCGGUGCUUGGAUCAAGUGGAGCUUCAAAUGCACUCCUGCAACUGUCUGCAGAGGAAUAGUGCUGAAAUAAAAAACAAUAACAAGAAAAUAAAAGAUUGUCAUAUGGGCAAAUGGGAGAAGACAGUACAAAAGAUAUUCAUUUUACUCUUUUUUUUUAAGGAAACAAAUCAUUCUACUCUAAUAAGUCACAAGAACUUUACUUUAAAAAACAAAUACUUUUUUCUUUUUUGAAGGAAACAAACCGUUUAAACGCCUCAUGCAUUUUAAUUCUCUACUGUCUAACAAUCAAAAUCAGAUCAGAAAACCAAACAAUAUAUACCUGAAAACAAUAUUCAAGAUGAUCGACUCCUCCAUAGUUAUCAACAUUUUCUGGAUUCAUUUGGAAAUACUGUCAAAUAGAGUGGAUACUUCAGUAAUAAAUAGUAAAAUUACGCUCUAUAACCUAAAACCACAAGAUUGAUGAUCUAGUAAAAGAUAAGAAAUAUUUCGAUUGAAAUAUUUCAGUGGACGUGUGUUUGUUUUUAUAAGAUUAAAUCAAAAAAGCAAUCCAGAAUAUCCACCUGCAGGACACUCUGGGUGGCACAUUCCUGAUCCAGUGGCUUCAUACAAAUGUCACUUAGAGAUAUACUUCUACCAGAAUAAUUAGCUCGAAUACCAUCUAUCUGUAAAAGUUGACAAGUGGAGAAGAAAUUCUGAGAAUGACACCAUCAAAUGUAAAUAUUACAUUUAAACUACGGGAAGAAAUAUCCUAAUUAAGACAGUCUAAUCCCAUAAUAAAGAAACCAAUCCCGAAGUGUUAUUCUAGUCACAAAAAUACCUUCUUUUGUAUGUCAAACAAUAACUUAACAUUGUUAUCAUUCAAUAUACUUGGCGGCUUUCCAUGCACGGAAUCUGGAACUGUGGCUAUUAUAAUCUAUACAAGAAAUAUGACAUUAGAAGUUUCUGAAGUCAAUAUCUUCUGUAGCCCAACUUCAUAACAGAUAUGAUAAUCCAUUAAUUAAAAUGAUUUUAAUAGUUUGCAGAAUUAUCAAACAAUAGUCUCCACCUGUUCAAUCCUAUAAAAAGGGGCUAGAUGUGAAUCAAAAAAUUCCUUCUCCUGGGAUGCUUUGCUUCCUGGUCCUACCCAUAGCUGAAACAAAUGCAGAAAUCAUCAAGAGGCCAACAACUGACAUUGGGCUAGAAGUAUAAAAUAAUUAGUACAAGGAAGGAUUUGAGGUGGUUAUAAUUCAAAAACCUUCAUGAACAGAUUGCAAACAACAUGAAGUCAAGCACAAUAGCACAUUCUAUUAUAAAAGGCAAUUAAAACUUUCUUCACUGAAUUAUAUAAUAAAUGUUGUAACUUCGGAAAAGUUACCUAGAAUCUGACUAGAAUCAGGACCAUCAUAAUCAGUUAACAGAAAGGGGUACCCAGUGUUAGCAGUCAACUCAACCAUAACAAGGAAGACUAAAAACAAUCAAACAAAUAGUAAUAAAGAGAUGAAGAUAUUCCGCCACUAAACUCUCCAUAUCAUGAGUGACCCCUCUGUUGCCCUCAUGCAGCUAAGCAACACUGGCUGCUGAUUAGCAAGAUGACACUGAUUCACACAUUUCUAAACACAACCAAGUAAAUUACUAUGGUCCACAUGUUUGCAUCUUUUUGACCAAAAUUGUCACACCAUUUGCUUAUCAGAGUCGCAUCUACCCAUCAAUGAAUAAAUACACAUAUACAUAGAUAUACUACGUGCAUGAAUUCAAAGAAAAGCAACAAAUGGAUGGUCCUAAAAAGAAAGAGGGAACUGAAUACACACAUGCAUGCAAAUGCGUCGGGAUGAUGAGAGAGAGAGAGAGAGAGAGCCUCAAGAAAAGAACGGAUUAAUUUUUUUUAAAAAAAAAAACAGCACUUCAACUGAUUGAAACAGGACUUUUCCUUGUCAAUCAUUUGAAGCUGAUAUGAACCAUACUAUACCUUAUCAGGCCUUGUCUCCACCUUGAAACGAAGGAGACCUAUACACAGAAGUAGAACAAUGGCCAGUGAUGAAAUCAACACCAAUGUCGGAUUUCUGGCCACCCAUGUUCCAUAUUUCCUGUGAAGAUACGUGAAUGAAUAAAAAUAAGUCGUAAAUAUGUUUUUUACAUCUGUACUAGUAUAGCAGCAACAUUUAGUACCUGUAAAAAUUGGACAUGUAUCCCUGAACAACUGAAAGCUGAAUCCUACUUCUGAUUUGAGGAGCAUCUUCAAGCAUCUGAGUAUAUGAAUAGUGGACAGAAAAACAAAACAAGGAAAGCCUUCAGUCAAGCAAAUAGCAAAAUUAAUGUUAAUUUACAGCUAAAAUAUCUGGUAGAAAUCAAAGACAAAAAAUGACUGAAAGCAGCAUGAGCCACACAAAUAUUAGCAAAGAAAUUGCUUAUAGGCCAAUCGAUCAGGAUAAUUCACAAGAAUGAUAGAAAUGUGAAGCAUAAUAAUAUUACCUAUUAGCGACAUAUUACCAACAUGAAGAGCAGAAGGGUUAAUGGCAAACUAAACUAAGAUGAUUCACUAAGUUAACUGAAGAUGUCAUUACAGAAAUAUCUACUUUGACCUACGAACCUGCAUUGGCAAACUUUCAUCCUUUUUCCGAGUAGCAGAAUGGAGACUGCCCCCAUCCAUGAUAUUUGGCAUUGUUUUAGUUCCCGAAGAAGGGCUCUUUUGGGAUUUGCGAUAAAACAAACUCCAUCCAAGAAAAGCAGAGGCAAUUAUAAUGUACAGGAUACACAGAGUGAAGUCAACACAUUUAACCUGUAGCAGUUAGAAAAAUAAAUCUUUAAAUACAAAAUGCAAAACUAACACACAUAAAGAACAAGAUGGCCAACUUGUGAGGUGUUUUCUCACCUUGAGAGACCCAAUUUUAACUGAACAAGAAUUUUUUCUAUGGAAAACGGGGGUUGCAGUGCUACUGCAGACCGGUGCUGAAGGGCAAUCACCACAGGAACAUCCCAGUGAAGUAUCUCCACAAGAAUAAGCAGAUGCAUUCAUAUGCUUCAUUCCGGAUGACACAGACAUCGUAGGUGGAAAUCCAAUGGCAUAUGGUGAACCAGGCAAGCCAGGGCCAGCUUGUUUACCGAUAAAAGCAAACCACUCUGCCCGCAAUCAUACCAAUGUUCAAAUUUUAGAAGGAAAAGAGAACACAAUAAAACUAGCUUCAUAAGUAUAUUAAGAGACAAUGCAUUCCAAAAAAAAAUCACAACAGGCAAAGGUUUAGAAACCUCUUUUCUUCUUACCCUUCAAUACUUUCCUCCGAUUCCUCCACUCCACAGAAAACUAUUACAAAAAUACUUUCUACCUUUUGUUAAAAUAAAUUUUCUGAUUUGAGUACGUAAAAAAUGUGAUUUAACUCCACACAAUCAGGUUGUCAUGGUAUAAGUUUGUCCAGCAACCAAAUAGUGAAUGAGUGUGCGCAUACAUGCAUGAGAGGAAGAGAGGGUGUUAACCUUUAAAAUUUUUAGCAUCGGCACCAAUAAAUUGCAUGGCUCGAGUGUUCAUUGUACCAUAUUUUACAUCUUUGCAGGACUCAUAUAGCCCUUCACCAAAAGCAUCAGCUACAUAAUAAUCAAUGGCAUCAACUGUAAGGCUGUUAUUAACCUAAAAACAAAGACAAGCCAUUAAGAUUCAACGUGGUCCUCUAACUGCUCUAGCAUUCAGCUAAAAUAAGGGGAGAAAAUCAUAAAAGCGGUCAGCAUUGCGAAAGAGCAUGCAGAGAUAAUACAUGGAAAUUCAGAGCAAAUGCAACAAAAAUGCACAGUGAUUCCAGAUACAUGCAUUUAUUUGAGCUGUAAUUUGUGCAGCAAAAUAGGAAUUUACUUCCAUAGAAACUCUAAUCUCAAGAAAGAAUAAUCAGCUUACAAUUUAUUGACAGAGACUGCUGGGAAAAAAGGGAAAAGGACUGGAACUUGCUUGCAUACAAGCUCAAAUCUUUAGUAGAAAGAUCAUAUGACAGUUUGCUGAAAACUAAACUGGAAUAUUGAAAUGACAGUUCAAUAAAGAGAACAAACGUCACUUGUCAUCGUUUAUAUUAAAAAGAAGUGAACUACAUCACAACCUUGUUUUUCCAAACAUCUACAUGUAAUUACUUGGUAAGUAAGUGCUUUAAUGAGUUUCUACGCAUGUUAAGAAUAAAGAGAGACAUUCCACCUGAAGAGCAACUAACAUAUGCCCUCUAGAAGGUUCAUCAUUGCUCAGAAGUGAUGGAAACACAGUACACAAACACAUGAAUAUCUUAACAAAUACUAUUUAAUAGCGAAUUGCAUAAUUAUGCAAGUGUUAUAAGAAGAAAGCGUUCUAACCUUUAAAACAGAAGUUACAUUUAUGAAUAAGCUCUGAUUUGGAGAACAGGUAAGCUCACAGAACAGGUUCAAAAAGUUCCUUAAGCAUGCUGGACAACCUACAAGAAAUGGAAUAGCCUGCAUAAAAUACACAAGUCAUAUUAUGGGCCAAAUAUUUGAAGUACUUUCAUCAAAAGAAGAAUGAGAAAUCAGAAGGCUAAUUCAUUGCACAAAAUGUAAGGCAUUGCACAUUCCAAUGUUAAAAAAAUAAUGAGAACAGGAAUAACAAAAAUCAAAAGGUUAAUUCUUCCGUGCAGGAGAAAUAACACCCAGACAAAGGCUGUAAUAUGCAUUGUUGGCAUUCAAGAAUACAGGGGCAUGCAAUUUAAUAAAGAAGCAAUAUGCAUCAAUUUUGCAAGAAAAUUUUUCAUAAAAAUUUUUAUGAUGCAUUUUUCGACCCGCUAUCAGUGUGCAAUAAAUAACUAUGAGAUUAUGUAAGGCAGUUUUGGUAACACAAGUCAGUUAGAGAUCUCACUUGCAUAACUUGUGAUCGUAGGGUGUCAAAUUGUUGUUCUGUGCAACAAACAUUGCCGGUAAUAGUUGGACAUAGACUUUGGAUCUUCGAUGAUAGAAGAUUAUCUGGCUGGGAACACAAUAGUUUGUGAUCAUAAAGAAAAAAACAAGCGAGCAAAACCAAACAUUAAAAUUUGAUGGUAACAGAAUGGCCAAACAGCAAAUUCUGCAUAUUUUAUUUUAAAAUCACCAAUAUUAAUAACGUGUGGGUAGUCCAACAAUAGGAAAUCAAAAGUGUACCUGCACAGAUGGGGCACCCGUAGGACAGUUCAGCGCUUUACCAUCAGGUCGCUUUGCACAGAUGCCAUACAUUACACAAUAUCCUUCGGAGUGUUUUUCCCUUCAAAGGCAGAAAAAGUAUGCAUUAUUUGCGAGUUCAAGCAAAAAAUAAAGCAAAAAUUAUCUUAAAAAUUUAUGAUUAAAAAAAGUAAUAAAAUGAACAGAUUCAAGCUACCUUAUACACAGCAAUAAAUGAUUCACAAUAUAGGAAAUUAGACGUGUAGCCUGAGAAAUAACUAUUCUAAUGAAAUGUAGAAUGGUCAACCAAAAUGGACUGCAUACCCGGAUGUCCCAUUCGUAGAUAACUGCAACCCUGUAUUAGACAUCUCUGCAUACACUAGGACAAAACAUAGAACCUGCACAUAUCUCGACUUUUAGUAAGAAAUGAUGGUCAGUGAUCGUUUCUAUAAAUUACACGAUGAAGCGAAGUUCUAAAACAGAACCCGAAUACCAUAAGAAAAGCAUUAGCAAAUGGUAGGUACAAGUACAACGCUAGACAAUUUACACUCUUAUUUCAAUGGAAGCCACACAUGAUUGCAGAUGAAAGUUAUUCACGAGUCUGGGAAUUAACUUUUAAACCACUCAAAAUGCUCAUUCGGUUAAACAUUUUCGGAUACGUGAUCAACCUCAGAGUCCUGUAAAGCAGAGCCGGAGAAUUUAACCUGUCCCCUAAAUGUUUUCGAUAUAAAAUCCAUUUCCAAGCUCCUCCAAACUCCUCAUAUUCUUUUGCCGAAUACGGACAGCUAAAUAAAAAUUGAGAAAGAGAAAGAGAAACUAAAAAGAUGAACAGUACUAAACAGCACAUAUUGAGGACUCGGAAUGCUCAUUUUGGAACAGUCAUACAGCAAGCAAUCACAGAAACACGGUAUGAAGAAGACAGAACCACAGAGAAGAGGUCACCAAGUCCCAGUGUACAGAGAACAUAGAAACGGAAGAAAAGAAAAGAGAUUCAAGAACAAAAAACGUAACAGCAACAGAAUUCAUGCCUGGAGGAGAUAAAUUGAGAGGAUAAACCCUAAACGGAUCCUCAUUGUGGAGGAGAUGAGAGGUGGUGUAGGAAAAAGAGCAGAACCGCCAGAGAAGUAAAGCGGGAGUGAAAAGGGGGCCACAGAAGUUGUGUGAUAGUCAACACAGACGUAUUUAUAGUUACUGAGUUCAAAGAAGGAUAUCUCCAACUCCAAGUGUUGGCGCUGGCAGCAGCUUACGCGGGUGAGGGGCAAAUAAAAUCGGCGUAGCGAAUUAAAUAAUGUGAUUAUUUACGUAAAUGCCCCUGCUUUCGGUUUGAUUGUCAAGCGGGCCCGCUUGACAAUGAUUUCUGUGUUCUAUAAUUUGGAGCCAAUCUGAGGGUACUUCAGUAAAUGCGCUUUGUAACUUAAACGGCCACCUUUACCACGCUAAACGACAGGACUCAACCUUUAAUUCUUUUUCAUUCUCUAUUCGCACCAUAAAGUUUGAAAUCAUAAAUUUAUGCUUCCAAUUUCUAAGAUAGAUCUUUGAGAUAAUUUUACUAAUCGUUUUUUUUUUUUUUUUUACAAUUUUCUCACAUUUUCUUUCCCUUCAUCUCGAUUUUAUAUCAUCCCAUUUUGAUGUUGCAUCUUCUCUGUCGUUGCUAACCAUAAUGCAAUAGUAUGUCAUUUGAAAAUUAAAAGUAUAAACAGAACAUAAAAAUAUAUAAACAACAUAGGUCAAAACAGUUUUUUGAUCCAAAAAUUUUAUUCCAAUGUUAUCGAAUCACUUGUGUACUUCUCCAAAAAUUUUAUAAACCACACUUUCUGGUAAGCUUGGUUGGGGGGAAAUCAACUACUUCAACCACUCAAACUUAGAGUGCGAUGGUAAUUUUGUUUUUCUUUCUAUAUUUAUAAAAUAUUAUUUUUAAAAAUAGCAAAAUAAAUUAAAAUAUUUAUAAGUCAUACUAAAUUUUUUUAUUCUCCUGAUGAUGGCUGGUGAUAUGUUUUUAUUAUUAAAUAUCGUUAGUUAUCAAAUGUUUAUUAUUGAUGGAAUCUGAAAUUUUGUUAUAGCUUAUAAAUAUUUUGUCAAAUUUGUUAUUUUUGACAAUUCUAUAUUUAUAGAUAUAUGUUUCUUAUUGUGCUACCGAAGAAAACGAGGAAUCAAGAUAAUUGUUUUGAUCUAAUUAAAUAUUAUUUAUUUAGGCUAAGGUUCAAUUGGGUCAAAAAAAUAAGCUUAAUUUAGUCCAAGUAAUAUAAAACACACUUAACAUCGUUAGAAUUGACCAAUUUAUAUCUUUAAUUUCAGUUUGAGACACAAUUUGCAUUUUUGGUCAUUAAUUUAAUAAAUGAUGUGUCAGUUUGUGAUUUGUCUAAAAUUAAUCAUUCAACAACUUAUUAUUUAAAUAAACAUAACUCAACUCAUUGAAAUCUAUCUUAAUGUAUAUAUAAUAAAUGAAUGAUUUAAUUGUUGAAACUCCAAACCUAAAACAUCUCCAUCGUUAAUAAAUAAUAAUGAAUUAUGGAAACGAUGUAUUGUGAUAGUUCACAACCAUUGAAAAAGAAGCUGUGAAGAUCAAGUUUUACGAUAUUUAUUACAAGUGAAGUAAUAUAACGAUAAGAUUUUUUUUUCAUAAAUAAAAAAAAUUGAUAAACUAUUUGCACUAUACCAAACAAAACAACUAUUUACACUUGUAAAAUAUUAUAUUUUUGACCAUUUCCCUAUAAAACAUUUAAUUCAUUCUGCUUUGUUUUGAAAAUCAAGCAUAUUUAAAAUACCAUGAUUAUAAAACUUAGUUCAAAGUGUUUAAACUUUGAUUCUUAUGUAUAUGGAAUGUCAAUGUUUAAAAAUAAAAAAAACAAUAUUAAUUUAUAGCUUUAUCAAUUAAAAUAUAAAAAAAUACAUCUGCAAAUUUUUUUUGUUUUAGUUUCUAUUUAGUUAAAUAGAUUUUAUAUUAAGAAUAUUUAAUUUAAAUUGUGUUUGAAUUUAGACUUCAAAUUUUAAUAUUAACAUUUUUAGCUUUAAAUUUUUACUCAAAUUAUAAUUAAAAAAUUGUAAAAAAUUACAAAAGCGAACAAAAUAUUUAUAUUUAACGAGGAGUGAGUUUUUACCUUAGUGAGUCUUUUUGUGAUAAAUGUUUAACAAAAACAUUUUAAAAUAAUAAUCUAUAACAUCUAUUUUUGCACAUUGCGAAUAGGACAAAUAAGACAAGUAAUAGUGAUAUCAAACUGAUAUCAUAGAGUUAUCGACUUAUUAAUUUUUUACUUUUGCAAUUUAAAAAAUGCAGUGACGUAGAUAUUAUUAUCAUAAUUUUCUUUUGCUAAUUUUACGAGUCUCUUCUUAUUAUCGUUAAAAAAACCCUCAUAAUGAUAACAACGACAGAACCUCCCAAAAACUUACUCGCAAUAUUAUAUAUAAUUAAUUCAGUUGGUGUGUUACACCAACCAUAUUAAUUUGUAGUAUUUCUACCCAAUUACUCUUCUAUUUUAUCACCAUGGUUGUUUUCCUUUUUUUGGUUUUUUUAAAUCAAAGUUGUUUAUUUAUUUAUUUCUCUAUAUUUUUUAAGUUCACGUUGUAAUUUAUUUUCUAAGGACAAGAAAUUUGCACGAAUAAUAUUAUAAAAUAAAAAUAAAUUGUAUUUAGAUAUAAUUUUAAUUUACAAAUACAUAGAAGUUAGAAUUCAAACUUUUAUUUGUAAAUAUAAAACAAAAUUGAAUUUCCAAUUUAUAGUACAAGUGAUUAAUGGUUUUUUCACUUUGAAUUAUACUUUAUUACUAAUGAUUUUUUUCAAAAUUAUAUUUUAAAGUAAGAAGUUGUAAGAGAGUUCCUAUAAAGUCUAUAAUCAAACUAAUAAUACUUUUGAGAACUUUUAAAUGUCCUAAUUUCUCGGCUAAAUAAAUGACAAUUAAUACAAUCAAUAAAAUAAAGGAACACUUACAAAAAUAGCAAAAACAAAUUAUGAUAAUAAGACUUAGGUCAAUACAUUUUAUAAAUUACAAAAGUAGCAAAUUUAAAGUCAAUAACCUUGUCGUAUGAUAUCAUUAAUUACUUUUGAUUUUUGUCGUAUGAUGUAAUUUUCUAAAACAAAAUUGGUUUUUGGGAAGAAAAAUAAUGAAAUUACAAAUUGGAUGUGUAGGUUUUGAGAUUUAAAGUUUUAAAAUUAGGAAGUAAUUAGUGUUAAAAGUUUGUGUGGUUCUAUUAAAUAAAUUAAAAAGAUGUAAAAGCUUUCAAAUGUAGGUAAGAUGAUAUUGAUGUUGAGGGGAUUAAUGUGAAACGUAGUAUAAUUGUAGAUAUUGGCAAAUUCCAAAAACCCAACCACCGCACUCAUAAGCAAAGCCAAGCCAAGCCAAGCCUAUACGCAAUAUAAACUUCCACAAGUUCGAUCUCAUUUGGCUUUACUCAACCAAACAAAAUCCACUAACCUAAUUAGAUUGUACACCAUUCAAAUUUGGCCUUUUUUGUUCUUUUCACACACAUUGACUAAUGAGCCAUUCAGCUACACAAAUAUUGAGUAACAAUCCUAGCAAACAAAUGGGUUUUAAUCUUCUAUUCUAUCUGCAUCAAACAAUACUAUCGUUUUCUUUAUAUACAUAGCAUUGCGUUUAUUGCAAUCUUUGUUUUUCUCAUGCAUUUUGGUGCUUUUGCUAUGAAUAUUAUGAUGGAGUGGAGAGGAAAAAUCAUUGGACAUGAAAUGCAAAAUUGUAUAAAAACAAAAAGUGAUGGCAAGUUUUAGCGUAAGUAAAAGGUUAGAUUUUGUAAGUUUGUGAGGAACAUGUCGUUAAUCCAAAAAAAUAAAAAAAAAAUUCACUCACUAAAAGAAUAUUUGAUAAUACGAGGUUUCAUCUCAAAACCAAUUGACUAAUGAAAAGAGUAGUUCAUUUAUCUUAUAAGAUAUGUGAGUUUUAUCAGUCUUUUUCAAUGUGAGAUUCUCAACAUCUCAACAAAUAAUGAUUUAAAAUAAUACCGAGAAAAUAGAAAAUUUGUUGAUGAUGAAACUAUAAUACUCGAGGAAAUAAGAAAAGUCGGAAAAAAUUUUCAGUAUUACACCAAACUUACUUUCAUAAAUAUUUACAAACUACACAUAAUGUUAAUGGAUCCCAUUUUGUUUUUAAAAGUGUGUUAGCUACGAGUGAGCAUGAUAGACCGAAAAUCAGGCCGAUCGACUAAAAUAGACUAAAUAAAAUGUGGUCGAUCAUAGAUAAGAAAAGAUUGGAUCAUGUCGGGUUGGAAAAAAUCCAAACUGACAACAUUUUUUAAAAGUUUUAAAAGCUUAAACUGACCUAAACUAAUCGAUCGAUUAUACCUCUUUGUGAUUGAGAUCUAUUGAAACAUUUACUAAACUGGUCAUAGUCCAUUUAGUGUAGGUUUGAUUGGAAAACAGGCUCCAAGCAAGUGAUGUUCAUCCUAAAGUUAGUAGGUCAAACAAUAAACAAUAAAUAAAUGGAUAGUAGGAAAAUAUUUGUAGAUUAGCUAAGUAUAAAAUAAUAUAUAUUUAGGAAAAGUUGGUAGAAGGGAAAGGGGGAGUUGAUUGGAGGGUAGGAAAAGAAAGUAAUUGAGAAGUAGAGAAAUGGAGAAGGUGGGAGCAAUGAUGAUAGUGGAAGGAAUUAGAAUUAAAGAAAGAAAAAAGUGGGUCCAAAUGGAGAUUGCGAGAAAGGGCAUUGGCAUUGGCAUUGGCAUUUGCAUUUGCGAAACACCACAGGACACACAACACGCAGCAUUUUGGAUGAUGAGAUGUGAAUGGCGAAAUUAACAAAAAAAAGCCUUUGAGUUCUUUGGGGCCUUUUGGGUGAGCCAUUCAUCUUCAUCAUUACUACUCAUUUGACGCCAUCAUCGCCCUCGGCGCCACGCCUCGAUCAUGCACAAUCCCAAUAUUCCACUUUUUUCCCCCAUUUUAAAAUCAAAUUCCAUCUCACCCACAUGCCCCCUCCCCCCCUAUACCCUAUUAUAUAUGUGUGUGUACGGACGAAAUCACAUUGGAAUUAUAAACAUAUGUUAUUAGGAUUAGGAAUUGAUUCCAUUGAAUUAAAAUAAUUUGGUUAAAAGAACAAUUAUAAGGAAGAAAGAGAGAAGAGUGAAUCUCAAUCCCACAUGCCGAUGCAAAUGAGCGUCGUGGUCUUAACAUUGGCAGUCGGAGUUAUGUAUUACACCUUUUCAGUUUAUGUAUAAUUUAGUGAUUUAAUAAUUGGAUUAGGCCAACUUUAUCAAAGGGGCAGAGGCAAUUUUUUUGUUAGGAAAGGUCAAUAGUUGAGUAUUUGUGAGAAAGGGAGGAAUAAAGUGGGGUUGUAGUUAGCACCUAGGGGGAUUUGUCUUGGGAUUGGUGCAUUUAUUUUAUCCAAACCACCUUAUUCCAUCUUCGUGUUAUAGUUACUAAUUGAAUUAUACGUUUUGAUCAUAUUUACAACCCACGAACACUUUAUUUUGUUUGGUUUUGAAAACUUAGUUUUGUUUUUAAAAAAAGUUAAAUGAAAAAUACAAAUAUUUGGUAAAUAAGAAUGAAAACCAUAUGUAUAAACAAGUAUAUUAAUUUAGAAAAACGUAACUUAAAAUAUAGUCUAUAAACAUUGAAAAAGUGAUUGAUAGUUUCUUAAAUUUUAACUAUAUGGUGUUAUAUGCAUGUUAGGUGUCCCUUGUCACAAUUGCAAUCUUUCAAACACGGGACGAGGGAUUGUGCGACAUUUGUUCUAUUUAGUCAAUAAGUACUCAAUCGUGCAAAAUCUGAAAAUCGCGAACAGAUUUAUAGUACGAUGUAGCUCUUCUUCACGUUCUUGAGAUAGUUUUUUUUAUAAAACGUGAGAAAGAAACAAAAGCAUUGAAAACAUUAUUAAAAAAAAAACAUUGAAGACUAUCAAUUGUAAAAAGUACGAUAAAACUUGGUCGGCUAUUCAACUAACGAGUCUCCUCUAUAGUACAUUUUAAAUUUUUUUAGCUUUGACAUGGAAAGUGCAAAACGUCGUACUUAAAGUUGACAAUAUAGAAAAAGAAAGCAAUGAACUAAACUAAGUACAAAAUACAACGUACGAGCAUAGACAAACAACACAACUAUACUCACUCAUGACACAUUACACCUCUAAAAAUAUAUUUCAAUUUUAUAAAUUCCAAAUAUAUAUAUAUAAAAAAAAAACACUUAUUUCAUUGUAUUAUUUUUCUUAAAAUGAAAAGAAAAAUAUGAAGGGUUAGAAAUUAGAAUCCAUUUUUGUAAAAAUUUUAAAAUAUUUCUAUUUAUGACGAUAUUUAUUAAUAAAUAAAUAACGGAACCUUUGGUUCCGUGCGGAAUCUGACGCAAAAUUGCCUUUAUGUUUCCGUGCCCUAUUUUAAGGAAGUCUUUUGUUUUUUCCUUCCUUUUGUUUUUUUUUUAACCUUCUAUUUUUAAUGCCUAAACUUAAAGUAGCCCAAACAAAAAAGCCUAUUCUUUUCUCCUUGCAUGUGAGCAAAUGAAAUGACCAAAAUGGCCAACCCUACAUUUUCAAAUUAGAGUGUACAUAUAAUAAAUCAACAUCAAGAAUCUUGCUCACCCUUAUAUCAUACCACUUAUCACUACAAAAUUGCACUCCAUUUAGCUUUUAUAAAUGGCAACAGUUUGAAUUUUCACAUAAUUGCAUGCCUUUUUCAAUAUAUACAUGUGAGAAUUAUCUGCUCUCUAUGUGAUGAAGAACUGAAUAUAUAUUCUUAAAAGUUGGGUUUAAUUAGCUAGGGAGGUGGAAUUUGGAAAUGUGUAAGUGGAAUUGAUUUCAACAGAAACAUUUAUUACAAAAUGAGAGACGACGAAGAGUUAAAAGGCAGAACAACCCACAAGAGAGAGGAUUAUAUAUAUAUAUAUAUAUAGUUCCAAAUAAACCCUCUUUCAUUAAAAGUUAAACAGUCUGUCAUUGCAAUUGGUCACAGCUGAAACCAUUAACAAAAGCAUUGGAUGUGAUGAAGGUUGAGACAGUUUUGCAUACCAUGGCAUGCCCUUGGAAACUACACACAACCUCGUUUGUCCCCUCGCAUCAUUUGACAAGUGCUUUUUCAUGCAUUAAUGGAAACAAACUCCUCUAUCUUUAUUCAUUCAUUCCUUAUCAACUUAAUUUUUCUACGGACUUAGUUUUAUUGCUUUUCGAAAGUAAGACAUGCCCAUCAUUCAUCUCUACCUCAUCCUUUUUUCCUUUUCUUCCUAAGUGAUGAUAGUUAUACUGUUCUUGUCAAAAAUAAUAAAUACCAAAUUUCGUUUCUAUAUAUUGGAAUAGAGGUUAGAAUUUAGUCUUUGGAUCAAAUCAUAAAGGGGACUUGGAUCUAACUGAUGUAAAUGGGGUUUGGUCUUAUCAAAUCAGUGGAACUAUAUUUUAUAAAGUUUUAAUGGUAAGAAUUAAAUUGAUCUAAACUUUAAGAUAAAAGUAUGAUAUUUUAAAAUUAAACUUUAUAGAUAAAGAAAAAGGGAUAGAAUUUUCUCUUCUUUUUAUUUAUUUUUUCCUUUUUCUUCUUUGGUAGUUUGUUGAGAAGUAGUAAUUAUUGUCUAUAUUGCUCUUAAUGUCAAUAGGAAUAUAUAUGUGAAAUAUUGCUUUCCAAUAUAAUUCUUUCUUUUUUCAUUGACGAGACAUCUACCAACCAUUUUCUAGAAGUACAUCGUUGGGUUGAUGAAAUUAUUGAAUACUUUUUAAAAAACUUAUUUGUGUAUAGUGGAGAGGUGGAAAGCAUUUGAAUAGGAUGCACCUAGAAAAACUAUUUCUAUGUUUUCCAUCCUAUUUAUCAGAUAAAACUAUGUUAGUGCACCAAAAUUUAUGUUUGAACAAUUAGAAAACUACUGUUCUAAUAUGCUUUAUGAAAUGAAAAUGGUAUCUAUUAGAUACAUUUUCAAAUUAUAAUAAACUUUAAUCUUGACAGUUAGAGCUUGUAUUUAAUAGAUUCGUAAUAGGACACAUGUUGGUACUGUUUCAAUGAUAAUUUCGUGCAUUAAUGACUUGAUUCAUUUAUUAGUUGAUAAUUAAACUAAUUCGUUGGAAGCUUAUACUCGUUGUUUAUAUUAAUUAUACUUUAUACUUAGAAAAACAUAGAGUUAAGUGCAAACAAAGUCUCGCAUUUGUUGAAAAUAAGUUAUAGAUUGGUGAAGUACAUCAGAGAAAAUAAUUAUCUCUAUUGAUAUGACAACUUUUGAAGUAGCUCGCUCAUGAGUAUUUAGAGUAGAUAGUAUCGUAGUAUUAUGGAGAUAGAUGAAGGGUGACGUUGUUCUAACAUAGUUAACGUUUUCAACCCAUUUUUUAAUGGAAGGUUUUUUUGGUUGACUAGGAAAAUCUUAAAUUAUGUUAAUCGACAUAAGUAAAGAAAAAAAAGCAAUAAAUAGAAAAGUUGAAUUAAAACACAUUCUUCAAGUCAUUUAGCCCAUAGAUAAUAAACAUGCCUAAAAAGCUAGAAUAUAAGGUACUCCACCCAUAAUCCACAAUCAUAUCACCAUCAUUAUUAGCAUUACUUAUUAAUAUCUCUUGCAAACUUAAUAUCUCUUAAAUGGACUCGUAAUAUCUCUUGCAAUUGAAUGAACAUUUUUGUUUUGACUUUCUAAAUACGUAAAACUCCUAUUAUUUUUUAAGUACUAAAGAAAACAAACCUAAAAUAAAAAACGCAUUUAUGAAACGAAACUAACUAACAUGCAAAGAGCGAAAAAGUCAGAGGGGAUUUUGGUUUAGAACCAAGUAAAUGAAGUUUAGAAGUCAAUAGUAGGGCACUUGAAUAAAUAAGAAGAAAAGAAUAUGGUAAUUCAUUUGGCUAAAUAGUGAAAAAAGUAGGAAGGAAAUGAAGAAGAUGAAGAAAAUGAUUAAAUUUGUACAUGAAAUAGGUAAGAUCCAUGAGAAAGGGAGUAGAGCAUGCCCCACAAAAUCAAUCAUACAAUUAAAGGAAAUUUAAUUUACUCAAUUGAUAAAUAAAAAGAGUAAUAAUAAUGAAAAAGAGUUGUGUAAACUCAAGAAAUUCAAACGACUGCUUUUUGUAUGGAAAGUGUGGUGGCCAGAAAUGGGCCUAUUGGGGGCCCAAUCCAAUUAUGUGUGGAGAGUGGCUUUUUUUUCUUUUUUUUGCAAAAGCUGAUGCUGCUAAGUCUUUCUUUGCCAAUUUGGUCAAAAUCUUAUUUCUUUUGGAAGGGACUAAAGAGCAAAUCUUGGUUGCCUCUUGAGGAUUUGCUCUUGAGUUGGCUUAGUCAAAUGCCAAUCACUUCUUUUCACAACGCUUAUCAUUAUAGGCUUCUUUUCCUUUCUAAACGAUAUUUACAAAUAUAGCAAACUAUCACUUUCUUCAAACGAAACAACACUAAAAUUAUACUUACCUAGCCUUUAUUAUUUUUUGCAUUUAGUCAUAGUUCAUUCAUGUAUCCCUCUCGAGUAUUUUACUUUUAAACUCUUACCGUGUUUUAAUUUUUGAGUUCAAAUGAAUAAAACCCAUUUUUUCUCUUUUUCUAUAAGAAAAUGAACAAGCUACUUUGAUUUAUUUUAACAUCCCAAAUGUCAUACUUGGAUUAAUUUGUUAAAUUUUGUAUGGGAUAUAUAUGUUCCUUAUCCUAUAGAGAUGGGGCUGGAGGUUCACUGCUCUUACUAAGCCCAUUUGACCCAUUUAUUACAAUCAUGUUUGUUCACAAUAGUCCAGGGAAGUUGUUCAUUCAUUGCUGCUUUCACAGCUAUCCAUAAUUAUUAACCCCAGAAUCUAAUCUGAUUUGAAUGAUUUAAUGACAAUUUUGAAUUAUGCAAAAAGAAAAAGUGAUAAGAUGUGAAGUCAUGUAUGAAACUAAAUCUAUGUCUGUAUUGAAGGCAAAAAAAUCCAUAUUACCUGAAAUAUGUGCAACUACCACCAAAGGAGAGAUAUUGUCAUUCAAGAAUGCAUGUGGAUUACUUGCAAAUUUAGAUACUUAUUCUACAAUAUUAAACAGGAGAUUGGAGUUGGUCGGGUUUCUCUAUCGCCGGCAAAUCCACCUGCAACCAAAUACAUGAAAUGCAACUCGAAUCAUAUUUAGAUUCAAUUAAAAUAUCGAGUCGAAAAGCAAAAUCUGUAUUGUUCUUGAAUGGUUUGUCGUAAACUAUAUAAAAGAAGAAUCAAUGUUUGAGAACUUGGAAUGGCCUUUUCCUUUUGCGUUAAAUACUUAAACCGAUGGAAGCAGUCAGGCCUUUUCUUUCGGCAAAGAUUUCUUUCUACAAUCUCCGCUCAAAGAAAAGCUGGCUAUUUCUUGGUGUACAGUAAACAAUAUUCUGAUCGAAGAAACAAUAAUUCGAGAUUAUUGAUUUGAUGCCUUACAGAGCUGUUCGAAGACUUCUAUAGCAGCCACCCUUACUUGGAUGUUGAACUCUUUCCGCAUCUUGAAUCUUGAACAUGGGCACUCCUGUCCCCUUGAGGAGAUAGUUUGGAGGGACUACCUACCCCUUCCCUCGGUUGUUCUGAUGCGUGACUCUGAGAAGCUAAGUACUCAAGGGCUACAACAAUAUCACUGAUAAUUGGCCGGAACAUUGGCUGCUCCUGGAGACACAUUGCAGCAAUUGCGAUUGCAUGGUGUAGACAACGAAGUGGAUAGCGCCCUUCCAGCAGUGGGUCUACUAAUUGAACAAACUUCCUCCGGUCUUUUAAAAAAGGGCGAGACUGAAACGAGGCACAGGUGAAAAAAAGUAGUUGUUAGGGCCAGUUCAUUUAAUAUGUCAUCUUCUACAACAAGAAGCAGAGCCUAGCCAUGGGAAAUGGUAGUUGAAAAUCAAAAUAAAAUAAUUCUCUCAAACAGGAAAAUCAUGGAACAGUUUACAUUUUCCGAAGAUUGUGGAAUAGCACCAAUAGUUUUGUUCCAAGGCAGCUACAGUAACUACAGAAAUAGAUUUUCCCAGGGCAAUAUGAGAAUUGACAACUUACCCAAGCAACAAGAUUUUGCUCUCCAGGUUUCUUGGUGGUGUCUAUAGCUUUCCUGCCUGUAAUUAUCUCCAAGAGAACUACACCAAAGCAAUAGAUAUCAGAUUUAAGGGUCAGUUUCCCACUCAUGGCAUACUCCGGAGCACAAUAGCCAUACGUUCCCAUAACUCUGGUGGAAACAUGAGUGUUGUCACCAACUGGACCUAACUUGGCCAGUCCAAAAUCAGAGAGCUUUGGAUUGAAGUCAUCAUCCAGUAAAAUAUUUGCAGAUUUCAAGUCACGGUAAAUGACUGGCGGAUUGGCUGUGCAGUGAAGAUACUCGAGGCCCUGUGCAGCACCAAGUGCAAUCUUGAUUCGAGUGUUCCAGCUCAAUGGUGAUCGUUUGGGGAACAAACCUGAAAACAAAAUACAAAACCAAGAAGAAACCGAACACAAUUAGGAACUAAGUAGAGAGAGUCCCACAUAAAUAUUUAUAUAACAAGUAAAACUAGUCAACCUUAAAAUCUGUUAACCUCAAACAGCAAUGCAACAGAAAGAUAUUUUAAGAAAGCUAUUUCUAUGCUAUUCUUUAGUUAUCACUCUCUAAUCCCUCAGGCUCAAGAACAGAACAAAUAUCAAAAGCACCUGAUUUCCUUUAGUUUGAGUAGAAACAUAGGGUAAAGAAAGAUAGACAUUUACCAAAAAGAUGAUUUUCCAAGCUUCCCAUCGACAUGUACUCGUAGACCAACAGUCUUUGAUCCCCAUCAGUACAAUAACCAAUCAAUGUGACAAGAUUACUGUGAUGCAAUAAACUUAACAUGAGAACUUCAACGAUGAAUUCCUGAUAUCCUUGAAGACCAUCAUGAUUGAGUUGUUUAAUUGCAACAAUCUGUUCGACCAAGCAAACGACAGUUGCAUAAACAUCAAACUCAACUUUACAGAAAAACAAAACCACAUUGAGUUUUUCACCGAUCUAGGUGGUUAAAAAAAAAAAAAAACCAGCAAGAACAACCUGGCCUGAUUCUAGUCGGCCUUUGUAAACUCUUCCAAAACCGCCUUCACCAAUCAAGUUCACUUCUUUGAAACCUCUUGUGGCAGUCGCCAAUUCGCGAAACGGGAAGCUUCGCGCAGCUCCACAUUUCCGGUUGUUUCCACCUCUGUUUUGUGAUUCCUUCCCUUUUCCAGUUUCUGCACACAAAUUCAACAACCAUAUGAUGAAAAUCAAAAGCUUAUUUACUAAUCCUUUUCAUUUAGCAACAAAAAGCACUAAGAAUCUGGUAGUUGCAGUAGACAUUUACCAUUUGAAUACGACUUCCCCCUCCCACUCCCUGCGCGAAAAUUUUCAAGUGUACAAAUCCCAAAACAUCGAAGACUUAGUGAAAUCUGACCUCAAAAGAAAGAAAGAAAGAGAAAGAGAGCUUAAAAUUCGAACGAGUACAUACCGUUGUCAAUUUCGACCUUGCUGGCGUCUUUACAACGAGUACGAAUGCAAGAAAAACAGCUCAUCUCCAAAAGCAGAGCAAUUGAAAUUAUCACUCACAAAGAAAAAUCACUCAAACCAACGAAAUCCGCAAUUCCCAACUCGACCCAUAUACACAUUUCAAAUUAACUUCACUCUAGCCCUGACCAGAGGGAGAAAGCUUGGUCCCAUGAGCCCCCCCCUCCGAAUCAGGAAGAUUUGAAGACAAACCCUAGGGUUAAGCAGAGAAGAACCGUUAGAAAGAGAGGAAGAGAGAAAAAAAUAAUUUUACAAAGAAAAAAACAAAAUAAAGAGUGUAGGCUUACAUACUCUAAGAACCCAACAAAAAAAAAAAAGUAAAUAAAUAGGGAAAUUCGAUCAGAAGUAUCGCCACAGGCAAAUAUGAUCUUUCAACCAGAGAUAGAUCUAAAGGGCAAAAAUGAGAAAGCAAAGCUAAAUAUGAAUGGGUUGGUCGGAGGAGGAAGUCCACCGGCAACGAUCGGGUUCAGAUUCCGGCGAAGUAAAAGAAGAAGGGUGAUGACACAGAGAUUUAGCUUCAAAUUAUUUCCCUGUUUCUUCCUAGAAAAGGAAACCCAAGUGAGCAUUUUUGUUUAGGGUUUGAAUCUGGGGAGAUGGUGGGCCUCCAUUUCUUUGCAUUUAUGUUUGUGGGUAAUCGUCACAAGUCGCUCUCUUCCCUCUGAAUUUCUUCUUUCCUUUUGCCCGCAUUUAAACGUUCCGGUCGGCCGGUCCUCAAGUUUCCCUCACUGCCCUUCAUCUUCACUGCUAUUUACGAAACCAACACUCUCCCAUCGGUUCAAAUCCGGUUGGAACUAUGGGUUAGCGUGUUUGACUUUGUUUUUUUCUAAAGUCAACUCCUUUCCUCCAUUGACGGACGUUAAACCUUACCUGACGGAGCACUGUACUAAUUCGGUGCAACACUGCAAAUCUCAUCCACAUCACAUGCAAUGUUGAUUAGAAAUUCAAAACUUAUCAUUAAUCUUGAAAAAUGGGUCAUAAAAAGCUCGAUGAGCCAACUGGCUUGACAUAGAUCGAAGCAAAGUUGUCGUUGAUGUGAACAGUGAUAUAAAUCAUAUGAUUUUGUUUAAUUAAAGAAAAAAGUUUUUGUUUUUUGUCCUGUAACUUGAAAGAAUAUGAUAUAAAACUAGACUGGGACCCAUUAAAGUGAAAAAGAAAAAAGAUAAGAAAGACACAAGUAGAAACAAAAGAUGGCACAUGAUUGGAUUGUUGUAUAAUGUGAAGAAUGGUGGUUAUAGAUUUGGACCCAAAUCUAGGAUGCAAGUGUUGGGAAAUAACAGCACAACCCCAAUUCUUUUUCCAAAGUAUUUAAAUAGAAAAGCAUGUCUGGUUCUAUUUCUGUAUUCAAUGUGUUUGGCUGUCUGGGACCAGAAUUACAUAUUGGGAUCUCAACCCAGUUAACCACAGCACAAGAGAAAGAUUAUAAAUUCUUCAACAUGGUCAUUGGAAUCACUUUUUGGGUUACAAUCAGAAUUUUGAUGGACAGUAGAAUAUAACUGACAUCAUUUACCAAUGUCCUGGAAAGGCAAUAAUGCACUUGCAGACAUUCAAGCUGUUUGGAAUCACUUUCUAACACGUUUGAAAUGCUUUUAACGUUUUUAAGCACUUGGAAAAUUAUUCCAAUAAGCUAAAAGUUGGUUGAAGUUGGGCAAGAAUCUGUAUAUAAGAAACGAUGCCAAGAUGCCAGAUUCUGUCCUUGCUCGACUUUGCUUUGUACUCUUCUUAGUUCUUUCAAUGCUCUCUCUUAUGAAAUCAAUCCCUCAAAUGAAUUUCCUUAUGCUUUCAAUUUCUCUUCAUGAGGUUUUGAUUGAAAGUUUCAUCAAAAAUUUGAACUUCAUUGGUUGUUGGUGAAGAUCCGUACAGUUCGGUCAAAGAAGAAAUCAAGGUCGUCAAACUCAAUUUCUAUGCGGUGUAUGACAAAUUGUAGCCAUUUGAAAACAAACCUGUGAAGGGUGAAGUUGAUCUGGAAGACCCAAUAACUUUCUAAGCCCACUUCAAAACAAAAGCCCAUGGUGAAAAACCCUUGAUCUGACAAAAUAUCUACAUCAUUUCCUCCAAGAGUUAGGUGAGGGAAAGAAAAGUUAGCUGCCGUUUCUAGUUGUAGAGAGGAACCCAAGCCGCCGCGCCAAUUUUUGAUCAAGAACUGCAUCCAACUUGUCUCCGGCGACGUUAAAAUCAAGGUUUUGCCGUUUCUAAAAAAUGAAACUUAUUUGUUGAAGAUCUAUAGCUUUUUGACUAUUUGAACUUUUGAGAUAUUUAUGGAUUUUUAUUUUCUUAAAACCAUUGCAGAUCUAUCGAAGGAAGCUCCAAACGUGAGUGGAUCUAAUCGGAUCUGAAAUCCGAAAAUUAUUGGCAGCAAAAUAUUUUCAGUGUGGUCGUAUAGAUUGAAGGUUGGUUUGAUCUGUAACCCCUCUGGUGAUCAUCUUCACUAAAUUCAUUCUUCCUACUAUGUACAUCUGCUUUAUACUUUCGGUUGCUGAUUUUCAAAUAUUUUGACUUUUGUGUGCAUUUUUGCAAUUUUUUCUGCGAUUUUAUCUGAUUGAACUCAAUCGUAGAGGGAAACUUAGAUAAGUCUGUUAGUGUAGGCAAUUUAGUAUAGACAAUUUCAAGUGGAUGCUUUUCUGCUGAGUGAGAGAUUUUGUGUGUGGUUGAAUGCAACCACAGCUUGAGGCACUAUGCUCCACUGCGUUGGUUUUGGUUGCCAAGGGACCUUAUUAGAUUGCUCAAAGUUAUACUGAUCACCUCUGUAUGGCCAUUGGUCUUUGGAUGACCAGUGGUACUAAAUUGUAACCCUUCCUUUAUCCACCACACCUUAUGUGGGGAAGGGUGUGCGUCUGGUUUUAAGUUUGGUGUUGUAAAUAGGGGUUUAUCAACUUUUCUUUUUCAUUAUUAACCACUAUGAGUGGGCUUUGUGGUCAAGAAGGAUCAUGUAAGUGUUUUUAGGAUCAAUUAAUUCUAAUGCAGAAGCUCACAAGGUGGCCUAGACACUCAUAGAUAUAUAUGUACUGUUAAGUUUGUCAUGCGUCCUUGUUGGCCACAGCAAAAACACUUCCCAGAGUGUUGGUUUGGCAUAGGAAUAUUCCUUUGGGAUUCUUGAGUUUUCUGUAGGCUUAAAUUUGUUUUCUUUUGUUUUGCUAAAAGGAUAUGUGGAAGUACCACCUAUUUCAAAUGUUCUUUGGGGUUUCAAAAUUUCCUUCUUUGAGAUUUAUCGUGAUACUCCAGCUGGAUCAUUCUAUUGCAUUCGGGGUUUUGUGAAUCUCUUUCUAUUGUGGCUGUCCAAUCCACUGAUUCCACCUUGGGCUGGGAUGGUGUUUUUUGGUGGUUCUUGAAUAAUUUACAGGUUUGAAUUUUGUCUGAAAUGUCUUUUUUCUUUAUGUGCAGGUAUAUUAAAUCCUUGGGGUCACUUUGAAGGCGUUCUUGUGCUUGUAAGCUACCUUCGUUUCUGUUUUAUUGACUCCGAAUUGUUCUCUCUGCUUUCUUUCACGAUUGUUGAUUUUUUUCGUUAGUGUGGAUCACUGUCGCUGUCAUCAACCGCUCAAAUUGAAUGCUCUGAUUCUAAAUUUAUGUCAUUUAGUAUUUGGUAACACCUUGCAUAUUUGCGAGAGAGUUGAGUUUAACUUAAGUCAUCAUUGGUUGUCCCUGCUUUGCUUCAUUGUUAUUAUGGCUCUCCAAACGUAUGCUCAUUCCCAGCUCUCAGGACCUCACCUCACUGCCUUAUCCUCCAUACUCUCUUCCUACUCAACUAGUGAGAUUCGACUCCCUCUAACUUCUACUACUUCAAGACGACGCCAUCUUCGUCUUGUUUGCUCCAGCAGUGAUGCUAAUAGUAAUAAGAAGGGAGUACCCAAUUCCAACUAUGUUGUUCCACUUAAUAAAUCUUUUUCCCCAGCUAACUCAUCUUGCAUCACUCGACCCCUUGCUGAGAUCCUCCGCGAUCUAAACAAGAGAAUCCCCGAUAACAUCGCUCAGAAAGCCCCUCAUUCUGACACCAAUGAUCGUUCUCCUGCCACUUUCAUCCCUUGGUUUCAUGCUAAUAGGAUGUUGAGUUUCUAUGCCCCUGGAUGGUGUGGAGAGAUACGAGAUGUCAUAUUUUCAGACAAUGGUAGUGUAACUGUGGUAUAUCGUGUGACUGUUCGAGGAUCGGAUGGAGAAGCACAUCGUGAAUCGACAGGAACUGUCUCAGCUACUGAUAGCAAUAUUGAGGAUCCUGUAGCUGCUGCAGAGGAAAUAGCUUUUUGCAAGGCUUGUGCGAGAUUUGGCCUCGGUUUGUACCUCUAUCAUGAAGAAUGAAUGAAGCAAACAACAGAACGAUGCCAUACUUCCCCGACGUGUAAUAAAGUUUUUUUAGUUUCAAUAUUUUGUAGAAAUGAGUACAAUCUUGGCCUUGAGACACUUGAGAAGUGUACAAUAGUAGUUUUAGAUGAUUCUGUGGAGCUUGAACUUUAGCAAAGUCAUGUAUGGAUACUUCCAUACCAUGUUGCUGAUUUACAUCUUUUCCAUUUACACGUGUACUCCAUUUCAAAUAUGCAUUUUCAGUUUUACCCUUUUCAAAUGGAUUAUUCACAGUUGCUUUUACUGUUUGAGGCAAUCGAGAUUUGGCUUCAAAUUUCCCUGUUUCUUCCAAGAAAAGGAAUUUCAACGUCUUUUUCCUCUGGGAGAGGCAAAAAGAGGAGUUUUGUAGAGUUUGAACUUUUGGGUGGGGGAAUGGUGGGCCAUUGUUUCUUUGCAUUUAUGUUAGUGGGCAAUCCUAACACAAGACUCUGCAUUUCUGCCUUCACUUUGCCGGCAUUCAAAAGUUUCGGCCGGCCGUUCAGUUUCCGCCACUGCCCUUUAUCAUCUCCGUUUUUACGAAACUAACACUGCCAGCCCCACCGGUUCUGUUCGGACCGGGUUUGAAUAAGGUCAACGCCUUAGCCCUUACGGUCUAACCUCGGUUCAUGACGUUAAAUCUAAUCUAACGGAGAACUGUACAAAGUCUCAUCCACAUCACAUGCAAUGCUGCUUAUAAAUAGUAGUUUGUUAAUUAUUUUUCUAAAUAAUAAUAAUAAUAAUAAGAUUAAUUCUUCUUCUAUUAUUAUUAUUAUUAAAAAAAUAGCACUGAUAGCUUCAUGAGAGCCAAUUGAUUGACAUAGACUCGAAGCAAAGUUGUGGUUGGGUUAAUGCCAUAGAGUGAUAUAAUUUUGGUUUGAUUAAGGAAGAAAGGUUAAUUCUUUCUCUCUUUUUCUUUGGCUUUGUCGUAUUAUUAGAUCAUGAAACUAACGCAUAGAUGAAUAUAUAAUUACUACCAAGAAAAAAAGAGAGACCUGGGCCCAUAGAAAAGGAAAAAGACAAAUUGAAGCAAAAGAAGUCACGUGCUGGGUGGUAGUUGUAUAAUAUGAACAAUCAGAAUUUAGAUGAAGAAGAACAGUAUAAUAUAAGUGGCAUCAUUUAUCGAAGUUUGGGAAAAAGCAAUAAUGGAGACAAUUAACACAUCAUUUGUUCUUGAAAAGUUCACUGUAUAUUGAUUUUGGUUUUGGUUUGAACCCGUAAACAGAUGAAUGAGUUGGAUCUAGACAAUAAUUGUACAAAUCACUAAGGUCUAGAUCGAGAAAAUGAGAUAAACUGAAGUUACUAUCUGUACAUAACUGCAAUAUUAAUUGUAUCGUAUACAUAACAAAUAUCAUGUCCUCACAGCUGCAAUACUAAAUCGGGUUGAAUUUGAGAAAGAAUCUGCAGAUUAGAAUUGGGUGCAGCAGAUAAGCCUAAUCCAAAAUUAAGGUCAGGAUCGAAGGCGAUUGAAUCUAGCACAGGACGUGUUGAUAAUUCUUGCCAAUGUGCCUUUUCACUACGCUUGUCUUGUUGUGCAUCGACUGUGUCCUGAAAGCAGGCGCGGGCUGGUGAAUGCCACGGAGCGUGUGACUGAGAGGCAUCUUCUUCUGCAAGUUUUGGCAUUCCAGUUUGGUUUAACAAAUCCGUAUUAUCUGAACUGGAAGGGACUUGGAAAGAAGCAUUGUUGAGAGGAGCUGGGCAUGUAGAGUAUUCUGAACAAGACGUCCCACCAAGAAUAGAAUCAAGUCUUACCAUUUUCAUUUCUUGUGAAAAAUGGGGGAAAAGAUUACCAUUUGUGGGGUGGAUGUUUGAAGGAACUAGUAUGUUCUGUUCAUUCGGUAUACAAGUUGUUGAUCCUAUUAAACCUCUACUUCUGUCUAGCAACACUGUCUUGCUUUCAGCAUUUCUCACUCUAUCAAUUUCAUUAUCAGCAUCUUCGCCGAGUUUCAAAAAAUUAUUUGAAACACCAAUGUUGGCCGUGCUUUCUGCCACUGUUUUCAUGUCGGAUGAGCCUCCAUCCAGAGGCAACAAAUGAUGCUGCUGUAGCAUUUCAAUUUCUUGUAUUAAUACUCGCCCCAGCUCCCGACUAAUACCUUUGAUUUUCUUUAAAGCAAUAUUCCAAACUGCAGGACCAAGAUCGGCUGCAAAGAGAGCUAAGCUUCUUGCAUAACCAUGCUCGGCAUGCAAACCCACCUGUUUGAUAAUGAUAAAAAUUAGCUUUAUGAUGACUGCAGUCAAACUCACCCCAAUCCACCCCAUCACAGAAAAAAAAAAAAAAAGGAGGGAGGGAGAGAAGAAAAAGAGCAACCCCACACUCAUUCCCAAACUAAAAUGGAUUCCUUCAAGACGAUAAAUAAGAAGUAAUACGAUCUCCAAUGAAUAUACAAAAAAGUUCAAUAGAAGAACAGAACAAGGAGUGCACUACAUACAGUAAUUAGUUGCUUCAAGUCUCCAUCAAGGUCACCAAAGACAGAUGGCCAAUUCCCACAUGACGUGGAACGAUUAUAGGUAUCACGUCUAUUCUCAUUCACAGCCAUAUUAUCAUUCUUUCCACUUUUAAGAACACCCUUUAAAACAGAAGCUGAAAACGAGUGGAUAAAACUCUCAGAUAUGUUGGACAAAACUCUAACGAUGGCCAUAAGAUAUUUUGUAGUAGUGUGAAGUAUAAAAGACCUGGAAACUCAAUUUUCCAUUCAGGCAACCAGCUGGCCAAAGUUUCGCCAUGUUGAGCUUGUGCUGUAGAUGUUCUUGCUAGAGGAUCUGCAGGCAGGGGUCUGAAGGUGGAACGAGCUCUUCUCAAAUUGUAACCAUUGACAUUGUAGGAAUCAUCACAUCCAGAAGCAAGAGUAGCACCUGAGCAGAACUCUGCUCCAUUACUGUCAAUAGCGUUACCAAUACCUAAUGAUUUCUUCAGGCUCUUUCCUGGAGGCCUACCUCUCCUCACAACUUUCUGUUCUGGUUCACUUUCAUCGCUGCUCUCUCGCCUCAAAUUCUCAAAAUCCUUCUUUGCAAGUUCUUGUAUUGAUCGUGCCUAAAAUAAAGUGAACUUUAAAACAUAUAAACAGUAAAUCCAAUAAUUAUUCUAAAGCCACAACGUUCAAAGACAAAAAUCCAAACUUGUUUAAACCUGACGGAAGAAAACAGUAUCAGAAGCAUUAUACUUCAUUGCAUUCGAACAUAUCAAAAAAAUGUCUUCCUGCAAGAUUAAAAUGAUAAAAUAUCAAUACUUCACCCUAUAUUCCAUCGCCACAUUAAAUUCACAAAUUACUUGAAAUAAAUAUAAAUAUGUAUAGAAAAAAAGCAUACAGUCAUAAAGAGUAAAAGAUGUUCAUCUUAUGUCAUCUAACCAAAUUCCUGAUGUUCAAACUUUUAGACAAUAGCAUGAAAUAUACAUUAUAAGAGCUCAUCACAGAUACUAAUCAAAACCCAUCGAAAUUAAGACCUUGCACAUCAGUGCCUUGAGUUCCAAACCACAGUUCAUAAAAAGGGCAACCAUACACUUCAAGUUCGUAAAACCUUGGGGGAUUGUGAACACGGGUAGGAUAAAUAGCAGAAAAUUCUGCAGUCUUUUGCACAUACAUUGACAUGGAUGUAAUUCAGACGACUCAAACAGUUCCAUGAGUCAAAUAUCAUAAAAUUAGAGAGUUGAAAAGAAGACAGAGACGUAGGCACAAUCUACUGGUCAACAGAAUGCAAGUCUUCAACAAUAAUUAAGAACCAAGCACUACAUAAUUAGUAAAUGAACGUAUCAACAGAAAUAAAAAAAGAAAUUAUAAAAGCACAAGUACGCACUUCAAACUGUUCCAAAUUUGCGUAAGCUCCUUCAUCUAAUUUCGUUCUCACAGUCCCAAAAUCCAUAGGAUUUUGAAUAAUGACAUGGUAAUCGGGAAGCUGUAAAGAUUACCAAAAAAUGAAUCAAAUUUAAGAAAACCUAAAACUAACCAAUAAAAAGAUUAUAUUCAAGAAAGAAAAAAACAAAACAAAACAAAGAAAAGUACAUCGUUUGGAUCCACGGGUUCGGAAAAUACUCCAUGGGUGUCUUUUCUGAAAGAAAACAGAGAGUACCACUCAGAACGAUUAUUAAAUUGCAAACAAUAAUGUUGGAAAACGAUAAGAAACAAAUGAACAGUCGCACUUUUGAAGCCUAUCAAGGAUGAAAAUCAACAACUUUUUGUCUGGCAAAGUUGUCGUGGGACCAGACUCCACCUGCGACCCUACCCACCACAUAAAAUAGUAUCAGCAAAUAAAGUUCACAAACACACACACACCACCUUCUUCUUCUUCUUCAACAAUAACAACAACUGAGCUUUGUUAAGAAUUGGAUACCAUACCAUGUGCAGGGUCUGUCGCUUUCAAAGCUUUAUCUUCUCUCUGCAAAUUAAGUUAAUAUCACCAUUAAAACAAUAUUACAACUCUUGGGGUAGUGGGAUUCGAUUUCAAUAUAAUAUUUAACUGUUUAGAAAGGCCUCCAAUUUGAUUACAUCAACAUAAAAAGUCAGAGAUAAGACAAAUUCAUUCUUUUUCUAGUUGAUACUCCAUUAUUUGGUUUGAAAUAUAAAAUUUUAAAAAAAAGUGAGAGUUCCAUUAAGUAAUAUUAUCUACUGAAAGAGAGCUACAAUGAUCUCAAACUUCAAAAAGAUAAAAUAGAGACGAAACUUGACCAAGUCAAACACAAACCACAAACAACCGAUCUGACAGAAAGUUUGCCAGAAUCUUCAAUUUACACGCGAAGUUAAACAAAUAAUUAAAUCUCGUUCGUCUGGAUAACAUAACACAGCAAUUCAAUUUUUUUAUUACAUAUUUUAAAAAGAAAUUUAAAAUUGGUAGAUUUUAUAAAUCGUUUCCGAAGGGUUUUUCUUGUUUUAAAAUGUUUUUUUUUUUUUUUGUGUGUUUAAAAUAGACAGUUCAUCACCACUUGAGAAGAUCCAAACUGGGCGGCGCCGGUUCUGCGACGCUUGAGGGCUGUCUCGGACUCUUCGCCAUAGGAGGCCAAUUUACGCAAAGAAUAACCGGACAAUGUUGGACAGUUUUGACGAGACGUUAAACCGAGUAAGGGCUUAUGCUUCUUCUCAAUGCGCUCGUCGUCGUCGUCGGCAGCGGCAGUGAUGGGGACUUGCUCUGUUCCGGAGUGAACAUUGAGAUUCCGACAAGAAGGUGGGUUCCUAGGGUUGGAGGAAAAGUCGAAAGCGUCAGACGGUUCUUGAUGCUGUUCCUCCUGCAACUUUUGCUGUUUGAGGAAGCGCUUUUGGAGAUCUAAAAGAGAAGGGCGACCCUUUUUCUUCUUCUUCUUCAUGGUGGAUUUAGAAACCUCGCCCAUUCUUCUUCCCUUUCUAGCAGGAACCAAAGGCAGGGAGGUUAAUUGAUUUCAGUUUUCACGGCGGACGAUGCAGGAUUUCUAGGCACGUGCGAAUCGCAUGACCCUUUCACGUGCGAAUCCGUGACGGAAUAACGUGCAUGCAAAGGAAUAGAACACAACCGAACGCUCUCUUCAAAUUAUUAAACUCUAAACAAACUAAACUACUAACGCAUCUCAAUAUGGGCCCAGUCCAUCAUAAUGGGCUUUUCUUUUAUUUAGUUAAAAUAUUUUAACUCUAUAGGGUAGAACUUAGAACUAGAAGGUCAAGUAUAAAAAAGAAAAAGAGACUCUAAGAGAAAUAUAAAAAAUUAUAAAAUAAAGAAAUAUCAAACAGAGAGAGAGAGAGAGAGAGAGAGAGCCCAUAUAUGUAAAGGGAAGGUCAGAUUUGGGCCUAGUUAUGCGGGCCUGGGGUUGGUAUUGGGCUUAUUUGAUUGGAAAGAGGGGCUUUGAGAGGUUUCGGGCGCGGGGGGGAGGUGUGGAGUGGCACCGCCAAGCGAAGACAACGAAUAUUAGGAGAGAAAACACAAAGAGGCGGAGAGAUGGAAGAGAAUGAGGUGGACCAAUGAAAGAAGAGUGCGCAGAUUAUUGAGGUGGCAAUAAAUUUAGAAUCCCGCCUAAAUCCCAGCUUUCAUUUCAUGCGCAAUUGAAUUUCAAUUUCCCAUUCCCCUCCAUAGGGACUUAAUUAUCCCCUUUUUUACUCUCAUUAACUCCCUCUCUUCCCACCACGUCCGCUUCUUCCUUCCUUCAUCCCUCCCUCUUCAAACCCUAAACCUAACCUAACCUAACCUCCUUCCCCGACUUCUCCCUUCGGUACGUUUCAUCCAUCUCCUUCCUUUUUUCUACUUUUUUUCCCUUCUAAUUUCAUCUCUUUUCUUUUAUUUUCCUUCCAAUCGCUGCUGAUCCAUUACCAUACUGCAGGAUUGGAAAUGAAAGGCGGUAAAUCGAGGUCGGAGUCGAAGAAAGCAGACACCAAGUGAGUUUUUUUUUGUUUUUUUUGUUUCUUUUAUUUUUUUAUUGGUCUUGUAUGUUUAUUUUCUAGCUUUGAUCGACCCUAGAUCUAGGAAGCUUCAUUGUUUUUCAAUUACCUGUUCAAAAGCUACGCGUUGACUUUCUUCUAUUUGAUUGAUCGCUUUUGGUGAUUUUUUUAUCCUUUUAAUUGUAGGCUUGCUGUGAAAAAAGGUGCAGCGGCUAAGAAAGGGAGUAAGAAGGCAGGGAAAGAUCCUAACAAACCCAAGAGGCCUGCCAGCGCCUUCUUCGUUUUUAUGUAAUUUUUUUUUAUCUUUUAAUUUACCCUUCUGAAUGAUUAUCUGCAAAUUGUCUAAUUUUGAUGGUUUUAGGGUUGCGAAAAAAUUGUAAACAAGGGUACAAAGACGACGAUCUUGUUUUCCAUGAGCGACUACUGAUGUUCGAAUUAAUUAGAAAUACCUUUAGGAAAUAACAGCGAAUAUUAGAAUUGUUGAUUUUCUACAAAAUAGUUUCCUUUGAUUCGUGGGUCUUUGGCAUGUAGAUCCUUUGUAUUUGCAGUCGUUUUCUUUAGGUAAGUCGAGUACCAUCUGACCCAUUUGCUGCCCUGUUAUUGCAUUUGUUUUAUUAUCAAAGGGAAGAGUUCAGGAAGAAGUUCAAUGAGGAGAAUCCGAACAACAAAGCAGUGUCUGCUGUAAGCUAUUUAACUUUUGUACUAGUUGCUCCUUGUUUCCAUUUGAAUUUUCGUGACUCUUUUGUGGGAAAGAGUAAAGAUGUUGGUUUACAAAUGAUUCAAUCAGGUUGGUAAAGCUGCUGGACAGAAAUGGAAAUCAAUGUCAGAUGCUGUACGUGAUAGCUAUCAUAGUAUUUCUUAUACUUAUCCUGAUAUUAUAAACUCUCUCUGAAUUACUGUUUAUAAUAUCAGGAAAAAGCACCUUACAUUGCUAAGGCUGACAAGAGGAAGGUUGAAUAUGAAAAAAACAUGAAGGCCUAUAACAAGAAACAGGUAUAUUGUCUCGGAAAAGUCGUUCAAUCAUUUUGAUUGCAGCACUUAUUUUCUUAUGUGAAUGAAUUCUCAUAUAUCGGUUGAGUUCAGGCCAGUGGAGCCAAUGCUGCAGAAGAAGAUGAAUCUGAGAAAUCAAUGUCUGAGGUGAAUGAUGAUGAGGAUGGAGAUGAGGGCAGCGAAGAGGUUAGCUUUCUUAAGGAGUUUAGUUAAAUUAAACAUCUUAAAGUUGGAACUGUUUUUUCAUUUCAUUUUUCCCCCUCCAAUUUUGCAGGACGAUGACGAGUGAAGAUGUAGAUGAUAGUAACGUCAUUUAGGGUGUCAGUGUAUUUGAUCUUUCCAUAAUAAUGGUUUGAUCAUUUCCUGUUAUUUUGUUUUUUAUAUCAUGAAAAUAUGUUAGUAUCUCCCUGUUAUUUUGUUUUUCAUAUCAUGAAAAUAUGUUAGUAUCUCCCUGUUAUUUUGUUUGUGCAUUCAGUAACGAAGGGUUGUAAUGGGAGAUCAUCUGCCUUGUACCUUACAAUGUUAGUUAUUCCAAUCCAACUGUGUUUUUUUAACUUUUUAACUGAGAUAACAAGAUCACUCCACACAUCAUGUGACAAUAUCAAAACCUUCACUUAUGUAUUACAUUUUCCAAUCAAGCUCAGUUGGGCACCCUUAACAGAGUUCUCUCUUUAAUUUCUCCAGUGGUUGUGUUUUUAUAUGUUUUUAGCCGUGUCCUCUUCAUGGUUAUUUGUAGGCCACUCUUUUAUGCAUCUCUGAGAUAGUUUCUUAUUUGUUUGCAGCAGCUUAUUAUGUCUCUGAAUUUAUGUUCAUUCUCUUAACUGAAGAGAAGGCAAUUAGUUGAUUAGUAGUUGGAAUGAGAGUGUCUUGCUGGCUUGGCUUGUAUGGUGUUUCUGGCUAGGAAGGGGUUUUGGAGAGGGAUAUUUCGGUAUAAUUUUUCCAUAUAUUUGUUAGUAGUUGGUGGUGGUGGGCUUUGUGUCUACAUCGUAUUGGUUCUUCACAUUUUGGCUGAUAGACUCGUUUAUACAACAUUGCUGGAAAUCAUAACUAAUAAGCCAUUAUAGAAUCAGAUACUCAAUUAUAUGAAACUCUUCCACCGUGCUAGAGCUGGGAAUAGAAGCCUUCUCAUAUGCUUCGAAAGUCCAAACAUCAACCAGUGUCUUUUGAAAAUAUUUGGGAUGAACUUUUUUUUUAAAAAAGUAUUGAAUGUUCUUGUAGGACAAUAUAAAAUUGAGAGUUUGCUUUUUAUUUAAGCCAACUUUUGUUGGUUGAUCACAGGUUUCAUGCUUAUAUCUAACCCAAUUGUUUAUUGUUAAAAACAAAAAGAGAUUAUUAAUCAAAUACCGAAUACCAUUAUCAAAUGACGUUCAAUUCAUUUUCAAGAAAUUUGAUGAUCUGUGUAUCCAAUGACUGGGUCACGAGUGUAGAAAGUACUUCUAUCAUACCUUUUAGGCAAAUCAGGGUUAGCCAAGAACAACCUUCCAAAAGCAACAAAAUUAGCACCACCAUUUCUAAUCACUUCCACUGCUUCCUUCUUGUAUCCACCAGCCACAAGGGUCCCUUUAAACGAUUUUCUCAUCCCCAAUAAGCUUCUUUCUUUCCCCUCCCUUUUCUCAAACCGAGUUACCAUCCUUGGCUUAAUCAAGAACUUGCCUAGAGCUUGGGGAUUGGAGUCACUGCAGCCGUAAUCUGCAAAUGGCGACAGCUGCUGAUCUUUUCACACAGCUUCCACAACUUCUAAACAAAAUCUUGCAGCGCUUUUCUAAGCUUCCUCCAUAUUGAUAUCAUCCCUUGUGUGGUUGACUUGUCUUUAAGAAACUAAUUGAUUAAGUACCCAUUGGCUCCAUUGAUCUCAACUCCAUCGAAAACCUAAAUAUACAAGGAUUAAACUUGUUAUAUCAAUUAGGAUGUUUUUCUUUCAUUUUGUUAUAAUAAUAAAGAAUCAAGUAGUACGGAUGAUUAAUUGGUCUGCUGUUAUUAGCUUCUAUGACAUUCAUGACUGCAACCUUGUAAUCCUUGACCACUUUGACUAAUCGCUUUCACCGUUGGUGACAAAGGAGGGGGAUAUUCCACUACCAUGCUCCCAGUUAUUUAAAGCAGUAUUUGUAACUCUAUAUUCUAUGUAGCUUUUAGGUAUCUUUUAGUUGUGUAAAAUUAAGCAUAUAAAUAAGUUUUCUAUCUCUAAAUUUCUUAUUUUGUUAUUUACUUUUCAUUAAUAUUUUAAACAAGAAUGAAGCCAGGUUAAUUUUGAAAAUGAAAGGGUAAUUAGAAGUAAGUUUUGGUUGUAACAGACGAAUAUUCAAGAGAAAAUUUGAUGGUCUUUUUUGGAUGGAAUAAUUCUUGUUAAUGCAAAAGAUAAUACCAUAAUAGUUAGAAGGAAGAAUCAUGGUCAUAAUAUUUUAAUUAUAAGUAUCCAGUCAGGAUUUAAGCACAAUAAUAAAAUAAAAAUAAUAAUAACAAUACUUUAGUACAUUUCAAAUUGCAAAUGAUAAUCAAUUUUUUUUAAAAAAAAUCAAGGGGUAAUAAUGAUAAAAAAAUUCAUUAUCCUCCCAAAUCUAGUACAGAAGUGAAUCUAACCUAAGUGCAUCUUGGACCAUCACACUCUCGAUCCGCCAUUGUAACAAAAAAAAAAAAAAAAAAAAUCCUCAUUGUAAACUCACGAUGAUAUGCACAAUAACAAAAUUUUCAAGUUAACUGGAGAACACUUCUAUAAUCUUUAAAAAAGUACUCUUGUUUUUUUUUUUUUUUUUGUCAAUAAUGGACUCUGAUUCAUAAUUAAACUUGAAAUAAUCAUCACAAAAAUGCAAAUGAAAUGAUUAGGUUCACUUUUCAUAUCACUUCCCAGAUUGAUGAUUGAUUAUGGUUAUAUUUAUUAAAGAUCAAAAAUAAUAUUCCAAGUGCUAAAAAAGAUAAGAAUAUUUUUUAAAAAUUUGCAAUAAAAUUUAGAAGGAAAAAAACAGAUAUGGUAUUGAGGUGAUCGUCAUAAAGUUAGGUACACGUACCCUUUUUUGUGGAAAUCCAAUUUCCCUUCUCCUGGUUUUCAGUAAUCGUCUACGGGCAGGUCUACGAUCGACUAGUUCAAAAGAGAGAGAGAGAGAGAGAGAGAGAGAGAGAGGAUAAUGGUUAUUUAAAUAAUAUGGUUACCACUAAGCCAAGCCAGUCCACACCUCCACCGUUAAAUGAUAAAUAUGGCAUUAACUUUACCCGAAAAGUUAUUUUGUUUCUUUGAUUUCAUUUUCCAGAAGAGGUUGAAUUCUCAGUCGGUGGCUUCUGCAGAAAAAAUGACCAAAAUUUUUAAUUUGUUGUCUAAAUCUAAACUAAACCCUAAGAAAUAAAAACAACGUUGCAUGGAAUUGGGAAUAUUCAAUAAAGGAAGUUUGACGACACCAAACCAAAGACGACCGUAGCUAUUGGUCCGUGGAUUCCACGCGCUUUACCUGCCAGUAGGGGAGGGUUAAUGUUAAAGAGGAAGACAUUGCCGUCGUGGCAAAGCAAGAGAAAAGACAAACAGACAAACGGAGAUAUUCUUCAUAAGACCCGCCGCGACCCGCGCAAUCAGUGUUAGAGUGCGCGUCUGACGUGGCAUUUUCUUUUUUAGGGUCCAAUUCAAUAAUUCUUGUUCUUCUUUGAGUGCUUUUCCCCCCCUUUUUUUUUUGGCUUUGCUUAGAGGAGAAAAAUGGAAAUGGCUAAAUGGGUUAGCUGAGAAUAGAGACGUAGAAACGAACCCAGAAGUUGCAGAAGCAGAGGGUGAUGGAGUGGCAGAAUCAGCAGCAACAGAAUCAAACAGAGCAAUUGCAAAUGCAGGUGGAGCAAUUGAGCAACGCCGAUGGAGUUGGUGGUCUCUACGUCAAGGUGAUGACCGAUGAGCAAAUGGAGCUUCUCAGGCAGCAGAUCUCUGUCUAUGCUUCCAUAUGUGAGCAGCUCGUGGAGAUGCACAAGGCAAUCACCGCCCAACAGGACCUUGCGGGUCUCUCUUUUCUUAUCUUUUUGCAUUACUCUUCUCAUUGAUAUUCUGUUUCAUCUCCAUUUGUUUGGACCUACAACAAUAGUUUUUUCUGUUAGAUCUACUUGUCGUAUAGGAAGUGAACUUUAAGACUAAAUCUGGGUUUUAGAAAGUAUCCUCCUCUAGUUCUGUUUCUGUUAAUUGAUUAAACUUUAAUAUUACCUGUUCCGUUUGCUGUAAACUAUAAUUGUAGGAAUAAGCGGGACCCUUGCUCUUUGUUUGUUUCAUCAUCAGAACCAUCUACUUAUCUUUCCUGUUUCUCAAUGCCUGGAGAAAUGGACUCCUUUGGAAAAUGAAUUUUGCUCCUUAAACAGCUUUUAUGCUUACUGGUUUCCAGGAAUGAGGCUUGGGAAUCUUUACUGUGAUCCAAUAAUGGCAUCUGCUGCUGGUCACAAGAUAACUGCUAGGCAGAGGUGGACGCCUACACCUGUACAGCUUCAAAUUCUUGAGCAGAUCUUUGAUGAGGGCAAUGGGACCCCUAGCAAGCAGAAGAUCAAGGAUAUAACUCUACAGCUGACACAACAUGGUCAAAUUUCAGAAGCAAACGUCUAUAAUUGGUUUCAAAAUAGAAGGGCUCGUUCAAAAAGAAAGCAAGCAAACUCAUUACCAAAUAAUGCAGACUCAGAACCAGAGACAGAAGUUGAUUCUCCAAAGGAGAAAAAGACUAAACCAGAAGCCUUCCAAACUUAUGAACAUUUGGUUCCGAAGUCCGGCAAUAUGUACUCCCAGAGAACUGAUUUAAGUACUGAAAUACUUUCCUUUGAUGCGCAGUCGAAUAAAGGGGAGCCCAUGUUUCAGUCUUUCGGAUCUGGUCAUACCAGUCAGAUGACUCCAAUACAAAAUCAUAGUAUGUCACUCUGUUUUUUCAAGAGCUAUACAUUUGAACAUUUCUUGAAUUUUCUUCAUCGGAAAUUUCCAUAAUGCAGCAAUUAUAUAUGAGUAUGCUCAAUCAAACAUAUAUCAUUUGUUGGUGUCUAAUUCAACUUGUCAAUGUGCAGGAAAUAAUAUGUCGAAUGAUAAAAUGAACGUACCAGACUACUCUCCAUACACUCCUUGUGAAGGAUAUCACUUGGUCGAGUGACUGCUUGCCUUGAAGCUCAUCCUGGAGGAAUGUGCGAACUGACACAGUACAUAUUACACUGCAUGUAUAAGGAAAUUAAAUUUUGAAAAUGCUUGUAAGGCAUUUUAUAUACGUGGUUAUGAACUAUAUAGCUUAUAGUACUGCUUGAAACCAAAUUUUGAAGGAUUUGAUUAAAUACGUUACGUUACGUUUUGGUACGAAAGUGUUGUUUUCCUGCAAUUUUCGUUAUUUGCUUGAUUCAGCUUGCAUGAUAAUUAAUUUUGCACCUGAGACGUAACAGACUGUCGACUCACCUAAUCCCUGCAAGUGGAUCAUAAACAAAAUGGUAAAAAUCAUAACUAAUGAAUUUACAACGGAAACCAACCUUGAAUUUGACUCCUCUCCCUGAGAAGUUUCAUCUCUAGUCCAAGUGCUGCACAAAAGAUGUAGAACUCAAAACAGACCUGUAGUUGCGUCUGAUGAAUUAACUAGCCAAAUGGCUAGAAAGUCGUACAUGUUGCAACUUGCAACUUCAUCCGGAAUAAUGAUCAAUAUUCAUGGCAAGUUUUAUUUUUUCUUGAAUGAUAAAAACAUUUACGAGAGACUAUGAAGUUAAACCCAUAACACUAAAUUCAGAAAAUUUCCACUUUGAGAUCAACAAUCAUACCCUCGAUAAGGCAUGGGAAUUGUCUAACAUUAUUACUAGAGGGGAUCUACAAUGCUGUCCUAUCCAAAACAGUGACAGCCUGACAAAACAAUCAUGCAGAAACUAUACAGAGGGCUUCACAACCCGGAAACAAAUGAUUAAGAUAAAUAUGUAGUCAACUUUACAACUGUAGUAUAAAUGGACAUAGAUUAAGAGGUUCUUUUGUCUAGACACACACAAAAGCUUCCACCUUAGCUGCAUUCUUUGAAUGGUGAAUUUGACCGAUAGAAAUUGCCAGAUCUCCCAUUAUAUCACCACGUAAACAUCCAGGCGAUCUUAUUAGCCUGGACUGCAGCCCAAAACAGUGGUUAAAUUAAGCCAAGCAGAAUGCCUCUAGAUGAGUACUUCAUGAAGAUCCUUUCCUUCUGACUUUCAAUUUAGUAGACCUCCAGCCGCCUGAGGUUAGCGGGCUAGGGGAGUAUGAAAAAUUUUCAAUGGGUUCCAUGACGGCAUACUUACUCUUCGCUGAGCUACUAACGGGUGAUACUUCCUGCAAUAAAAUUUUGGAAUCAUAGUCAGCCAUCGUACUGAUUUUAAUUCAUGCCGCAGUAACUAGUUAAUUAACUUUAAUUUCUCAUUAUAUCACAAUCGUUUACCUUGUUUAUUGAAGCCUUUCCUGUAUCAGCUUUGAGGUCUUGGAUCUCCAAACAAUCCACGAAAAACAUCACCUGCAAAAUGAGGAGACGAGAAAUGUAACCAAAAAAACUGUGGAUAAAACUGUCAUGAUAAAGUUUGAGAUGUUGAAACACAAAAAAUUCAUAGUCAUCUUCACAAAAUAUUAGAACUGAAUAACACGUACUUUAUUAAGUAAUGGAAUAUUCGAUGCAUCGGUUGCCAUGAUCUGUACACCAAUGCAAUUGUCACUGUAACAGAAGGGGCAAAAGACAUAAUUGUAUACACAACCAUCCUCCUCACUCCAUAUACCACGUCCUGAAUUUUUCGAAGACCUAACUAGGAGCCUCUGGUUAACAAACAAGAUGUCUGUAAUAAUAAGCUGUAUACUUGCUGACGAAUUGGCAGUUUGAGCUUUAAACCUUUCCUCAUAUAUUGAUAUUAAGUGUGUUUUUGAUGAUACCGUAAAUGAGCAUGUUAUGUUUAAAUGGUUCUCUGGGCGACCGAGUGGGCUUCUACAAAGUGCACAAGAUAGAUGCAACUUUUUGUCCAUUGGAAGGCCAGAAGACAGAUAAACAGGACUAGUAUCAUUUAGCUUGGGCAUUUGUGUGACAUUUAAACCGUUAGACUUCUUUUCCGUGAGAAGAAUUUCAUAAUUAGUAUCUUUUGGGCUAGUCAAAUUUCUGCUGAUUAUUGAGCUUCUGUCCACACUGUUACAUUCGGGAUUUUUGGUUUUGGGAUCAGUAAGAAACUCUUCUUGAGCAAGUUUCGUAAUAGUUAUACCCAUGGACUUCCUUCUUUUCUGGGUAUGAGAAUUUACACUCAUAUUCAAAGAAGAUUCUGUAUCUUGUGCAAAGCUGUAGGCAUUCACAGAAACAUUUCUUUCAGGAGUAUUCAGCAUUGAAGUUUCAGAUGUAAGAGGAGAUCUUGUUGAUUUGAUCAGAGGUAAUGACUGAUGUGAUAAUUGAUCAGAAAGCUCAGAAUAUGCCUCAAUUACAGUUGAAGUCGAUCUUUCAUCUUUGGAUUCUCUGGGACUAGUGGCGCCAACAAUAUCAACACAAGGAGUCUCCUGAACAAUUGGGGAAUCUGGAACUUCAAGAACGGUAUUCAUAGACAGAAACUCAUGGUUCCUGCAAUAUGCAGUUGUUCAAGACCAUUGCAAAUGAAAAAUGAAUACUGAUUGCUGAGUAGGGAGGUAAUAAGAACACCAAAUUAUAAAGGCAUGAUAACUAAUCAACCUUCUGACUACAGUUCCUGUACAAACGUUGUUAGUGUUAAAUCAAAUUAUGCACCAACAUGGAAAAGCUAAUGAAUUUUCAGCUCUUCGUAGGCCAUGCCAAAAAAACACUUUAGCAAAUGGAGUUCAUAUUUACCUCGUUUCUGUUUCAACACUGCACUCCAGAUCAAUUAUACAGUUUUUCACAUCUUCAUGAGCCUGAAAUAAAGCUUGUCAUCAAUAUCAACUAGAAAUUUCGAUUGAAAAGAACAGGUAUGAUACUUUAUCAUUUUAGUACUAACUUUCUGCCCACGAUGAUUAAACUUGUCGAAUUUCCCUAUCUUCAUUCUUCUACGACUACUUGGGCAGGUAGAAGUAAUAUGCUCCUCAUUCUCAGAAUUUGGCAACUCACUUUCUUUAUUGUUGCUAAUCCGCUCCUAAAAUGAAACCCAACAAUAAUGUACCGUGAUUUAUUGCCUGACCAUAAGUAUGUAAAGGAAGAAAUUAACACAGAAGAAGCAAGGACAAUAUGUUCCAGACCUUAAUGUGGCUGAAAAAGGAUUUCAGCUCCUCCAUAGACUGUUCAAAGUUAUCAAAUUGUUUAAUGGAUUUUCUUAGCCACUUAGAAAUGUAAGUCCUGUUCCUCUCUUCCUGGAAACGCUCAUCUAUUUGCCCAAAAUAAAAGAAAGGGUGAAGAGCUAUGGGAGAUUUGUGUUAAGAAAUGAGUCUACAGUGGAAAGUACUCUUUUAAGAAAUAACAAGGAAAUUUUAGAUUUAUCAACAUGAAUAUAAGAAAUACAAUAUUGAAACCAUAGAACUAGUUAAAAUGUUACGGCCAAGGAAUGACAGUGAUAGACCCCCGAUAUUAUAUCAGUAAAGUAGGAGAGAGAAAGAAGUAACACGUGUGUGUAACACGUGAGGGAUAAAAUGAGGUUUAGAAGUUAGUAUAAAUAAAGGCCAAUAGAGGGGCGGGAAAGUUAGUUAAGAUUUGAGUAAGGAGAGAGACUUUCACUGUUCUUCCUUGAAAGAGAGGUUAACAAUAGAAGUGAGGAGAGACUGUAAUCAGAUUCUAUUUCCAUUCACUAUCAAUAAUAUUACAUUCAUAUUACUACCUAUGAUUUCCAUCAGGCAGCUUCCAAGCAAGUUUUGGAGGUCUUGUGUUCGAGUUAAAUGGCUUGAUUUCUUCCUCUAACCAGCACAAACAAUCAUGCAUACAGCCUGACCAGUGAAGCUCGUAUUUUUAAUAGACAAUAGAAGAAGUGAAAUUAAAGAAUUAUUACCUAAUAGCAUAAUGGCACCAUAGUCAAAUUUGUGUCGAAUACAACGUCCUACAGAAAGAAAUUGUUACAAAUUAUAGCAAGGUUAUUUGCAUGAUGCCACUCCACAUGAGCACCAAGAAAAUGAAAAUAAAUAACAGCUACAAGCUAUACCUGCAGCUUGAUUUAGAGCUCGAAAGGCCUGUUGACAAUACCACUCGUUUCCACUUAAAAGGUUUUUGGACAUUUUAUAUGCGUCAUUGAACUUUUUCUUCAAUGCAACUUGAAUAUCAUUUCUGAAAGGAAUUAUAAACAAAUAAUCAAAAUAUUGUAUGGUAUAUUUUCUUUCCAAAAAAAAUAAGUUAAGGAUAAAGUUCUUACACAUUUGGAAAUGGAAUACCAACUAUUAUCUGAAUAUGUUAGUUAAGAAUUUCUAUAAAUAUAAAUAAAAAGCAAAUGUUCAACUUCACUGACACUGACUUCAUGACUUACAAGUCAAAUUCAUUCAUAAUAUGACAACGGACCCAAGGCAAUCUCCAACACUAGGAAAGAUAGAUGAUGCUUAAAAGAGGAAAGGAUACAACCACUCUAGCAUUAUCAUCAGAAAAGUCUAUUCCUUCUGAAACCUGCAAGUACAACAAAGCAAUUUAGGAUAUGUAAAUCACAUUAUAACAUCAAUUCAUGGAUCUUUUUAUUUUAAGAUCUAAUUAGAUAUUUAAACGUCUUAGUUUAAUUUUCAAGAACCAAGCUGAGGGUCAUACUGAAACUGGCGACUUCUUCUUAUUGAAGAUCAUUGCUAAAUGAAGUUCUUACAUAUUUCUUAACAAGAGGAAAAGAAAAGAAAAACAUAUGAUGCGUGCAAAACUGCAAGCUGCAUAUAAACAUUCGUAGUUGUUUUGAGCCGUCAGGACAACAAGGUUUAUCAUUGCCAUUAAGAAACAUGGAAAAGCGGUUGAACAUCAAGUAAUCAAAAGGAACACACCUUUCCUCGAAAAACUGCAAGGAGUGCUGCACCCUCCUUGGGAUUUUCACAGCCAACCACAUACGAGUCAUUGGGUUUGACCUUCUUGCCUCGACUCUUUUUCCCAAUUGCAAAGUUAUCACCAAGACGUAUAGUAUCAUAAUAACCUUUCAAUAUGGAAUCAAAAUCCUCUUGAGCUCCUCCUCUUGGCUCUGUACAAAACCAUUGAAAAGAUUUGAAUUCUUAAUGCAACAUGCAGAAAGAAAAAGAAAAAUUAAUAAAUAUAGGUACGCAAGAAACAUUAUAUAAUUCAACUCGUCUCGAAUGACAAAAUACCAGCAAAAUAUAUAUACACUAGCCUAAAAUAAGUUUUCCAGUGCGUAUCUUACCAACAAAAAGGGACUUCCUUGCAUUCAGUCGAGACCAUUGGCCAGUUUCAGACCAACGAUUUUGGAGUUUCUCCAUCAGCUUAUAACUGGGGAAGAACACAAGACAGCCACCAGGAGCGAUGAAAAAUAUCUCCUCUAAUGAUUUUCCUAGAGCAUCCUUUAAGAAAAUGGCCAGUAUAAGACAAGAAAAACCUAACAUAUAAAUUUACAUCGAUCACGAAGUUCCAAAAAUACCUGGAAUGCAUAUCCAUCAGCUGUUUUAUAACUUCCAUUCAGCGGAUAGUUUCCUGGACCAGUUGAUAUAACAGCUGGCCACACCUGCAGUACAAUUGUUGAUAGGUCAAAAUUUAACAGUUGCUGGAAUGGAAAAACCAGAAAUAAGAAAAGUCCACUUGAACCUGAGAUUCCACAUCAAUCACGUGAGGAGCUUCCAGUGAAGUUCCAAACUGAACUCCUAGUUCAGAUGAAAAGGAAUUCAUCGGUGACAGGGUCCUAAUUAUUUGAAAUCAGAAAUGAUUAAUUGUCUUCUUCGGCACAUAUAUAAUAUACCUUACCAAAAGAAAAUGUAGGAAAGAGAGAAAGCACUGUAAAAUUUAAAGAAGCAUCUAAAUUUUCAUACUUUCAAGCGUCAACUCAAUAUAGUCUAGAAAUCUGCUAAACAACCAACUUAUAGUCAAUCUAACAACUCUAAUCAUUGAGAAACUGCAGGUUUUAUUCUUCCAAAAGAAGAGGAUAUGUUAAAAUUGAAUUUAACAUGGCUGAAGAGCAUGGCUGUAGAAGCCAAGAAUGAAGAUAUUUUAUAGACUGCAUAAACUAUAUGAUACAUCAUAUUCCACUUUUCAAGUUUAUGUGCUCACCCAGAUGUCAAAAUAACCGAUAAGGAAAGAUCACUAAUGUCUCUAAAUACAACAGCUGGAUUCAAGCACCACAAACUUAAAGUAACCGUCCAUUCAGCAUAAGCUUUUCCUGAAAUAAAAUACAAAUAUAAUUUUGUAAAAAAAAAUUGUUUGUACAAAUAAACAAAAAAAAAAAAACUAAAACCAUUUCAAACUAAAAAAAAGGUGACAAGAGUUUUCUUUCUUAUUCUCAAGGUAUAAGAUCCAGUGAAAACUGUCUUCUCUUGAAAAGCCUAAUAGCAAGUCAGUUAUAGUCUCCAGAUAACAUCAGACAAACUAAUUAAAAAAAGGUAACAGAACUAUAACCAAUGGCUGAAAGUUAUGACAAGCUGUGAAUUAAGAAGACUGAGCAACUGAUUACCAGGAUCUCUUUUAAUGUAGCGUUGUAAUGCAAGCUGGUAGUCAGACAUGUGGCAACCAUUUCUUGAGAAGAAAUAUGUCAGUGAAGAGAAUAAUCCUGCAUCGUAUAAAUUGGUCAACGUCGAAAGUUUGAUAUAAAAAUAAAGCAAAUGUUGCACAUAGUAGUCUCUUACCUUCCAGUGUUAUCACUGACAGGCCACUCAAAUGUGCAUCAUCUGACUCGGUAUCUGAAGCUGCUUUAAUAGCCUUAAACAAGCAUACAGUGAAACUUCAAGGUAAUGAGAAUAAAAUGAAAGGUCCCCCAAAUAAUUCAAAGAACCCAACAGAAUCAGGAUACCUUUGUUGCACAUUCGAGCAAAAUGGGGAAGCAUUGUUGAGUUAUAUUAGCUUCUUGGAGCUCCCUUUGAGCAUGAUUUCCAGUCCAACUACAACAUUCAUAAACGUAGAAAUGGAAUAUCUCAUAGACCUAUGUUGUCAAACUGAUACCAACUACUAGAGAGGUCGAAUGCACCAUUUUUAGAAAAGAGUAAGUCAGACAUGCAUGUUUAUUGAAGGGCUCAAAGUGUGAAAAGAAACACAUUUAAUCUGAAAUCUAUACCCAAAAUGUUUUAAAUGCACAAUCUACACCAAGAAAUUCAGUUUAAAUCAAUUUCGUCCAUGGAUCAAAGAAUCUUGAAUGAGAAAAAGUGAAUUAUAUGAUAUUAUGUUCUAAAUACACCAAUAUAAUGCAAAGAAAAACUAUAUGCAACUAAGAAAUCAAAUGCUACAGCAAAACCAGUAAGAUUUUCUUUCUUCACUCACCAGGUGACAUAAUGCUGAAACUCGCGCUUUUGCAAUGUGGUCUUCCUCUGGUCAAUCCAACUUGUGAGAUCCUAAAAGUUCAGUUAGACUUCUAAAUAUCAAAAGAUCUUCUGAGAUGUUUGCAAAUAAUUCUAAUUAAUUAUACUAAUUACCUGUGUCAUUUCAUACAGAGGCUGGUAAACCAAAGAAUCAAUAGGACAUAGGUCCUCCAACUCCAUCUGCAAUUCUUUGAAAGAUGUGAAAUGCAAGCCAUGAGAAAAUAUUUUUCUCAACUCAUCAAACAAAAUAGUAUAAUUUCAGUGACUUACUAUUUAAAGUAUCCUCUUCAAUAUCCACACUACCACCAUGACGUGCAAUAUCCUCUAUAUUGCUGAAAAGUGAAAACAGAAUAAACUAAUUAAUUGUCUGCAUUUGCCACCUAUCUCAUGAACUUACCAUCAAACUGAGGUAAAAGGAAACACAUAAUGUAUGGAUGCUAGUACACAUACUGGGCUUCAUCAAAGAUCACGAUUGCACCCUUAAUAUCUACAUCCAUUGCUCCUCGAAUAACUGGAUUGAUAAUAUAGCUAUAUGGGCAAAACACCAGCUGCGCGUCGUCUGCCAUAGAGCGAGCUGCAUAAUAUGAACAACCUAAAGAGGAUAAAGAAAUUAAGUUAAAUAAGUGAUGACAACAUAAGACAGGUUAAACACCUAAAAGAUCAAGGAUUAACCUUUUACAGCUUCUCCAACUUUCACCAAAUCUUCAAUGUCAUGAACCUCAUGACAUCCUCCUUUCUGAAGAGUUGGAUGACAUUUAACCUUGUUUGCGUUUCUUUUAGAGAAAUGAAAAGUAUUUAUCUUCCUUUGUUGAUCGCCUUAAGUCAAGUAAUAAUUGAGAGAAAUAAAUUGAUGAAGAAAUGGGAUAAAGAUAACUCACUUAAAUUCACUGCAUCCUGCAAUUUGAUCCUUCAAAAGUAGUUUGCUGGUAGAGUACAACAAAUUUUACAGUGAAAAGGAGAAUAUAAAAUGAAUUAACUGGAAAAAGACAAAGAAAGAAAGAAAAAGGUGCCUUUAAGAGAAAUAUGCACCAUUCUUCAUCCAAAUUAUCUUUUCCUCGUACAUAAGGAUUUGUGCAUAGAUGUUUCCUUGAUGCCUGAUGAUAAGAAGGGGGUUAGUAAGAUAACAGUAAAGUAUAACCUAACAAGGACCACCCAGAAAUGUAUUGCAGCUGAACCAUAUCUGACAGGAGAGGAAGUCAGGGGAUUCUUACAACCCAAAACCAGCUAAUUCAACUUCUCAAAUUUCUUCAAUGCAUAAUCUCAUACAAUAUGUACACACACACACGUGUUAAAGCGGUGACAUACCAACACUGCCAUUGGCACUCGAUAGGCAGUUUUCCUAUACUCACGAAUCACCUGUGAUAUCUGUGAAUGUGUCCUCCUUGAAUAAGAAAACGUAAAGCAUUAGCAUCAAAUGUAGAUGACAAAAAUAAUUUUCCAAGCCCUUGUUUCAAAUUGCAGUAAGUUGAACUUACGAGGCGUAGUAUAUAGUCGGGGCUGUUUUUUUCUUCUGACUUUUGUUGUUUGGCCCUGGAAGAGACGACUCAGUAUCUGUAGACAGUAGAAAACCCAACAUAUUCCUCAGAAGAAGUAACUGGCCCAUAAAACACAAAAAGCAUAAAAAAUCAAAUAUAUGUUAUAAGAAAGAAAGAAAAAAGUGAGUAAGGUUAAUCUAUUGUCAGCUGAGGUUCUUCCAUCAGAAGAAAUUUCAGUACAAAUGACAAAGAGCCCCAUGUAAAAGAAAAGCUUCCGAUCAUCCGCAUUUCACAAUGGCUAUUUUUCAGUAAUCGUUUAAAAGAUGAUAUUCCAUGGUAAAUAGAAGAAAAACAAUUUGUUCCAACCUUAGUGUGCCCACGUAUUAUUUCACUCUUUCUCAACGUUAUCCGUCCAUAAAAAGAAAAGGCAAAAAGAAAAAACCAACCAUCCCAAGAUCAAUUAACCGUCCAAAGAGGUAGCGAUUUUAAGAUACUUAACACUUUUUGUUGCAAGCGAUGCGCAACGAAAUAUAUGUCGUCCUAAGCUAUUGCCCUAAAUAUAAUAUCCUCACGGUAUAAGCCUGAAGAGCUCGCAAGGGGAACCCAGUAACACAAAAAUAAAAAUGUCCAUGAACUUUAAACCAAUCUUUUCUAUGUCUCUACCUGACCACUCAAUUGAAUUCGUGCAUUCGAGAUGUUCGGAUAAUCAGGGUAAAGACAUGCAAACUUACUUGGCGUCUGCACUUCGGGAAUGAAUCCACCGCCAAAACCGAGAGGAUCUGUGGCAGCCUCUGGAGCAGCCUUCGUGUGACAGGGAUUAGCAUCCGGAUUCUUUAUCUUGUAAUUCUUCUGCCAAGCAAGACUAGAGCAGAGAAGUGAAAGUGACUUCCCGGUUCCAGUCGGAGAUUCCAGCAACGCGUGGCAAUGGCCCUCUCGCUGAGCUCGAUCAAGGGUGGAUAUAACUCUGCCCAUGAACGCAAGCUGCGAACCGUAUGGUCGGAAUGGAAAUUCCACUUGGAUGCCACCAAUCGGGUAAACAUUCUUCGUGAGCUGAUAAGUUGGAUUGGGCUUGGAUUUGGGGUUCGUCCCCCCUUUUGCAUAUACCAUUUUGGCAGUGUUGCACAGGACUUGCCGGGUGGGAAUAUUCGAACUCCUUGAGAGCUACCUAGCUUGGUAAACUACACGAUCGACGAUGGAGUUCUGUGAUGGGUUCGAUUUGGUGGUGGUUUCUUGGAAAGCUUUGGCGGGAAAAGUUAGGGUUUAUCGUACUUGAAAUUGGCGGUAAACAGUAUAAUUGGUUCACCUUGCAAUGAACGGUGAGGCUCUUGUUUGAAAAGACUCUUCUGUCCUUUGUGGCCAACGUCCGUAAAGGUUACCGUUUAGGCCGAAUUGAAAUCGUUUCUUUCUUUUUCUUUGGUAAUGCAACCGAUGAUUUGGUACCAUUUUUAAGAUAAUUAAUAUUUGGAAACAUUCUAUUUAAAAUAGUAAAAUAAAUUAAAAUAUUUACAAAUUAUCGGAAAAUUUUAGAUUUUAUUGGAUAAAAUUCGUUAUAGAUUAUAAAUAUUUUUUAAAAAAAUUAAAUAUUUAAUUAAGAUAUAUCUUUUAAUGUCUUAUUUUCAAUUAUACCUGUAAGCAAUCCAAUUUUCAAUCGAGUUUUUUCCUCCAUGAGGAGAAUAUCUCAAUUUUCUCGAUUUCAAUAAAAUUUAUAGAAAAAAUUGAUAGUUUAAGAAAUAGUACCAAAUUACUAUUUUUAUUUGAUGUGCUUGCAUUGACAUUUACACAUGUAUUUUGGGUAUAACAUAUAAGACUACUUUAUCGAUUUGUAGUGAAAAUUGGAAUAAUAAUGAAAUUUCAUUAGUAAAUCAAUUCCAAUAAACGGUGAAUCACAAACACAAUUCAUUGUUUUGGAUUGCUUUUACCUAAAAAGAUGAGUUUUAUCAAAUUUAAUAUUACCAUUGUGGUUUAGGUUAUGUUAUAUGGUUAUACAAAUCAUAACAGAAACGGUACCAAAAAAGAUUAAUUAUAAUAUAUAGAGUAUAGCUUGUGACAAUAAUUAAAAAGAUGAUACCUUUCAAAUAAAUAUAAAGCUUAUUCUAAUUAUAAUCAACACUAUGAUCAGAAUUUAAAAGAAAAUACAUACAGAAAUAUUGAUUAAAAGAUCAUAACGUGAUUUAUUGUUUGACCAUAGGCAUGUAAAGGAAGAAAAUAACACAGAACCAAGGAAAAAUGUGGCUGAAAAGGGAUUUCAGCUCCUCCAUAGACUGUUCAAAGUUAUCAAAUUGUUUAAUCGAUUUUCAUAGCCACUUUGAAAUGUACGAGAGAGAUCAUGAAGCUAAACCCAAAACACUAAAUUCAAAAAAUUUCCAGUUUGAGAUCAACAAUCAUACUCUCGAUAAGGCAUGGAAAUUGUGUUAACAUUAUUGAUAGAGGGAAUCUACAAUGCUGUCCUAGCUAUAACAACAUGAUAGCAUGACAAAACAACCAUGCAGAAACUAUACAGAGGGAUUCACAACCCGGAAACAAAAGAUCGAGAUAAAUAUGCAGUUAACUUUACAAUAUUAGUACAAAUGAUCAUAGAUUAAGAGAUUUUUUCGUCCAGACGCACACCGACUCUUCUACCUUAGCUGCAUUCUUUGAAUGGUGAGUUUGACCGAUAGAAAUUGCCAGAUCUCCCAUUAUAUCAUCAUGUAAACAUCCAGGCGAUCUUAUUAGCUUGGUCAGCAGCCCAGGACAGUGGUUAAAUUAAGCCAAGCAGAAUGCAUCUAGACGAGUACUUCAUGAAGUUCCUUUCCUUCUGACUUUCAAUUUAGUAGACCUCCAGCCGCCUGAGGUAAGUGGGCUAGCGGAGUAAGAAAACUUUUAAAUGGGUUCCAUGACAGGCAUACUUAUUCUUAGUUGAGCUACUAGCGGAUGAUACUUCCUGCAAUAAAAUUUGGAAAUCAAAGACAGCUAUCAUACUGAUUUUAGUUCAUGCCACAGUAACUAGUUAAUUAACCUUAAUUUCUCAUUAUAUCACAAUCGUUUACCUUGUUUAAUCAAGCCUUUCCUGUAGCAGCUUGGAGCUGAGGUCUUGGAGCCGAGGUCUUGGAGCUGAGGUCUUGGAUCUCCAAACACCCCACGAAAAACAUCACCUGCAAAAUGAGGAGACGAGAAAUGUAACCAAAAAGAAGUUGUGGAUAAAACUGUCGUGAUAAAGUAUGAGAUGUUGAAAAUAAAAAAAAAAAAUCCAUAUUCAUCUUCUUGAAAUAUUAGAACUGAAUAACAUGUACCUUAUAAAGUAACGGUAUAUUUGAUGCAUUAGUUGCCAUGAUCUGUACACCAAUACAAUUGUCACUGAAACAGAAGGGGCAAAAGACUUAAUUGUAUACACAACCAUCCUCCUCACUCCAUAUACCACAUGCUGAAUUUUUCGAAGACCUAACUAGGAGUCUCUGGUUAAUAAACAAGAUGUCUGUAAUAAUAAGCUGUAUACUUGCAGACGAAUUGGCAGUUUGAGCUUUAAACCUUUCCUUAUAUAUCGAUAUUAAGUGUGUUUUUGAUGAUACAGUAAAUGAGCACGUUAUGUUUAAGUGGUUCUCUGGGCGACCGAGUGGGUUUCUACAAAGUGCACAAGAUAGAUGCAACUUUUUGUCCUUCGAAGGCCAGGUGACAGAAAAACAGGAACAGUAUCAUUUAGCUUGGGCACUUGUGUGACAUUUAAACUGUUAAACUUCUUCUGUGAGAAGGAUUUCAUCACUAGUAUCUUUUGGGCUAGUCAAAUUUCCACUGAUUGCUGAGCUUCUGUCCACACUGUUACAUUCGUGAUUUUUGGUUUUGGGAUCAGUAACAAACUCUUCUUGAGAAAUAUCAACUGUACAGUUUUUCACAUCUUGGUGACCCUGAAAUAAAGCUUGUCGUCAAUACCAACUAGAGAUUUCGAUUGAAAAAAACAGGUAUUGUACUUCAUUAUUUUAGUACUAGCCUUCUGCCCACGAUAAUUAAACUUGUCAAAUUCCUCUAUCUUCGUUCUUCUACAACUACUUGGGCAGGUAGAAGUAAUAUGCUCCUCAUUCACAGAUUUUGGCAACUCACUUUCUGUCUUGUUGCUAAUGCGCUCCUAAAAUGAAACCCAACAAUAAUGUACCGUGAUUUAUUGCCUGACCAUAAGUAUGUAAAGGAAGAAAUUAACACAGAAGAAGCAAGGACAAUAUGUUCCAGACCUUAAUGUGGCUGAAAAAGGAUUUCAGCUCCUCCAUAGACUGUUCAAAGUUAUCAAAUUGUUUAAUGGAUUUUCUUAGCCACUUUGAAAUGUAAGUCCUGUUCCUCUCUUCCUGGAAACGCUCAUCUAUUUGCCCAAAACGAAAGAAAGGGUGAAAAGCUGUGGGAGAUUUGUGCAUUAAAUAACCUCAUGACUCUACCAUGGAAAAUACUCUUUUAAGAAUGACAAGGAAAUUUUAGAUUUAUCGACAUGAAUAUAGGAAAUACAAUAAUGAAACCAUAGAACUAGCUAAAAUGUUGUGGCCAAGGAAUGGCAGGUUCCAAGCAAGUUUUGGAGGACUUAUGUACGAGUUAAAUAGCUUGAUUUACCCAGCACAAACAAUCUUAUAGUUAAUAGGCAAUGGAACAAGUUAAAUUAAGGCAAUUAUUACCUAAUAGCACAAUGGCACCAUAGUCAAAUUUGUGUCGAAUACAUCGUCCUACACAAAGAAAUUGUUACAAAUUAUAGCAAGGUUAUUUGCAUGAUGCCACUCCACAUGAGCAACCAAGAAAAUGAAAAUAAAUGACAACAGCUACAAGCAAUACCUGCAGCUUGAUUUAGAGCUCGAAAGGCUUGUUGACAAUACCACUCAUUUCCACUUAAAAGGUUUUUGGACAUUUUAUAUUUGUCAUUGAACUUUUUCUUCAAUGCAACUUGAAUACCAUUUCUGAAAAGAAUUAUAAAUAAAUAAUCAAAAUAUUGUAUGGUAUAUUUUUUUUCCCCAAAAGUAAAGUAAGGAUAAAGUUCUUACAUAUCUGGAAAUGGAAUACCAACUAUUAUCUGAAUAUGUUCGUUAAGAAUUUCUCUAAAUAAAUAUUAAAUGUUCAACCUUACUGACACUGACUUCAUGACUUACAAGGCCAAUUCAUUCAUAUUAUGACAAUGGGCCUAAGGCAAUCCCCAACACAAGGAAAGGUAGAUGAUGCAUAAAAGAGGGAAGGAUACAACCACUCUAGCAUUAUCAUCAGAAAAGUCUAUUCCUUCUGAAACCUGCAAGCAAAACAAAGCAAUUUAGGAUAUGCAGAUCAUAUUAUAAAAUCAAUUUAUGGAUCUUUUUAUUUUAAGAUCUUAUUAGAUCAUUAAAUGUCUUUUUUUUUCAAGAACCAAGCUGAGAGUCAUACUGAAAUUGGCAACUUCCACCUAUUGAAUAAUUGUUAAAUGAAGUUCUUACAUAUUUCUUAACAAGAGGAAAAGAAAAGAAAAACAUAUGAUGCGUGCAAAACUGGAAGCUUCAUAUAAACAUUCAUAGUUGUUUUGUGCCGUCAGGACAACAAGGUUUUAUCAUUGCCAUUAAGAAACAUGGAAAAGUAGUUGAACUUCAAGUAAUCAAAACGAACACACCUUUCCUCGAAAAACUGCAAGGAGUGCUGCACCCUUGGGAUUUUCACAGCCAAAAACAUACGAUUCAUCGGGUUUGACCUUCUUCCCAACUGCAAAGUUAUCACCAAGACGUAUAGUAUCAUAAUAACCUUUCAAUAUGGAAUCAAAAUCUUCUUGAGCUCCUCCACAUGGCUCUGUACAAAACCAUUAAAAAGAUUUGAAUUCUUAAUGCAACACGUAGAGAAAAAAAGAAAAAUUAAUAAAUAUAGGUAUGCAAGAAACAUUAUAGAAUUCAACUCAUCUUGAAUGACAAAAUACCAACAAAAUAUAUAUACACUAGCCUAAAUAAGUUUUCCAGUGCGUAUCUUACCAACAAAAAGGGACUUCCUUGCAUUCAGUCGAGACCAUUGACCAGUUUCAGACCAACGAUUUCGGAGUUUCUCCAUCAGCUUAUAACUGGGGAAGAACACAAGACAGCCACCAGGAGCGAUGAAAAAUAUCUCCUCUAAUGAUUUUCCUAGAGCAUCCUUUAAGAAAAUGGCCAGUAUAAGACAAGAAAACCUAACAUAUAAGUUUAAAUCGAUUAUGAAGUUCCAAAAAUACCUGGAAUGCAUAUCCAUCAGCUGUUUUAUAACUUGCAUUCAGCGGAUAGUUUCCUGGACCAAUUGAUAUAAUAGCUGGCCACACCUGCAGUACAAUUGUUGAUAUAUAGGUCAAAAUUUAACAGUUGCUGGAAUGGAAAAACUAGAAAGUAAGAAAAGUCCAUUUGUACCUGAGAUUCCACAUCAAUCACGUGAGGAGCUUCCAGUGAAGUUCCAAACCGAACUCCUAGUUCAGAUGAAAAGGAAUUCAACGGUGACAGGGUCCUAAUUAUUUGAAAUCAGAAAUGAUUAAUUGUCUUCUUAGGCACAUAUAUAAUAUACCUUACCAAAAGAAAAUGUAGGAGAGAGAGAAAGCACUGUAAAAUUUAAAGAAGCAUCUCAAUUUUCAUACUUUCAAGCGUCAACUCAAUAUAGUCUAGAAAACUGCUAAAUAACUGACUUAUAGUCAAUCUAACAACUCUCAUCAUUGAGAACCUGCAGGUCAUAUUCUUCCAGAAGAAAGGAGAAUAUGUUAAAAUUGAAUUUAACAUGGCUGUAGAAGCCAAGAAUGAAGAUAUUUUAUAGACUGCAUAAACUAUAUGAUACAUCAUAUUCCACUUUUCAAGUUUUAUGUGCUCACCCAGAUGUCAAAAUAACCGAUAAGGAAAGAUCACCAAUGUCUCUAAAUACAACAGCUGGAUUCAAGCACCACAAACUUAAAGUAACCGUCCAUUUAGCACAAGCUUUUUCUGAAAUAAAAUAUAAACAUAACUUUUAUAAAAACUAUAUAUGUAAAAACAAACAAAAAAAAUUAAACUAUUUCAAACUAAAAAAAAGGCGGCUGAAAGUUAUGGUGGGCAGUGAAUUAAGAAGACUAAGCAACUGAUUACCAGGAUCUCUUUUAGUGUAGCGUUGUAAUGCAAGCUGGUAGUCAGACAUGUGGCAACCAUUUCUUGAGAAGAAAUAUGUCAAAGAAGAGAAUAAUCCUGCAUUGUAUAAAUUGGUCAAUGUUAAAAGUUUGGUAUAAAAACAAAGCAAAUGUUGCACACGGUAGUCUCUUACCUUCCAGUGUUAACACUGACAGACCACUCAAAUGUGCAUCAUCUGACACCGUAUAUGAAGCUGCUUUAGUAGCCUUAAACAAGCAUAUGGUGAAACUUUAAGAUAAUGAGAGCAAAAAGAAAGGUCCCUCACAUAACUCAAAGAACCCAACCGAAUCAGGAUACCUUUGUUGCACAUUCGAGUAAAAUGGGGAAGCAUUGUUGAGUUAUAUUAGCUUCUUGGAGCUCCCUUUGAGCAUGAUUGCCAGUCCAACUACAACAUUAAUAAACGUAGAAUAGGAUAUCUCAUAGACGGAUGUUGUCAAACUGAUAUCAACCACUAGAGAGGUCGAAUGCACCAUUUUUAGAAAAGAAUAAGUCAGAAUGCAUGUUUAUUGAAGGACUCAAAGUGUGAAAAGAAACACAUUUAAUCUGAAAUCUAUACCCAAAAUGUUUUAAAUGAUAAUCUACAUCAAGAAAAUCAGUUUAAAUCAAUUUCUUCCUUGGAUCUAAGAAUUUGGAAUAAGAAAAAGUGAAUUAUAUGAUAUUAUGUUUUAAAUACACCAAUAUGAUGCAAAGAAAAACUAUAUGCAACUAAGAAAUUAAAUGCUACAGCAAAACCUGUAAAAUUUUCUUUCUUAACUCACCAGGUGACAUAAUGCUGAAACUCGCGCUCCUGCAAUGUGGUCUUCCUUCGGUCAAUCCAACUUUUGAGAUCCUAAAAGUUCAGUUAGACUUCUAAAUAUCAAAAGAUCUUUUGAGAUGUUUGCAAAUAAUUAUAAGUAAUUAUACUAAUUACCUGUGUCAUUUCAUACAGAGGCUGGUAAACCAAAUAAUUAAUAAAACAUAGUUGCUCUAACUCCAUCUGCAAUUCUUUGAUAGAUGUGAAAUGCAAGCCAUGAGAUAUUGUUUUUCUCAACUCGUCAAACAAAAUAGUAUGAUUUCAUUGACCUACUAUUUAAAGUAUCCUCUUCAAUAUCGACACUACCACCAUGACGUGCAAUAUCCUCUAUAUUGCUGAAAAGUGAAAACAGAAUAAACUAAUUAAAUGUCUGCACAUGCUACCCAUCUCAUGAACUUACCAUCAAACUAAAGUAAAAGAAAACAUGUAAUGUAUGGAUGCUAGUACACAUACUGGGCUUCAUCAAAGAUCACAAUCGCAUCCUUAACAUCUACACCAAUUGCUCUUCGUAUAACUGGAUUGAUAAUAUAGCUAUAUGGGCAAAACACCAGCUGUGCGUUGUAUGCCAUAGAGCGAGCUGCAUAAUAUGAACAACCUAAAGAGGAUAAAGAAAUUAAGUUAAAUAUGUGAUGACAACAUGAGACAUGUUAAACACCUAAAAGAUCAAGGAUUAACCUUUUACAGCUUCUCCAGUUUUCACCAAAUCUUGAAUGUCAUGAACCUCAUGACGUCCUCCUUUCUGAAGAGUUGGAUGACAUUUAACCUUGUUUCCGUUUCUUUUAGAGAAAUGAAAAGUAUUUAUCUUCCUUUGUUGAUUAAUUUAAGUUAAGUAAUAAUUGAGAGAAAUAAAUUGAUGAAGAAAUGGGAUAAAGAUAACUCACUUAAAUUCACUGCAUCCUGCAUCUUGAUCCUUCAAAAGUAGUUUGCUGGUAGAUUACAACAAAUAUUACAUUGGAAAGGAGAAUAUCAAAUGAAUUAACUGGAAAAAGCAAACAAAGAAAGAAAAGAUGCCUUUGAGAGAAAUAUGCACCAUUUUUCAUCUAAAUUAUCUUUCCCUCGUACACGAGGAUUUGUGCAUAGAUGUUUCCUUGACGCCUGAUGAUAAAAAGGGGUUAGUAAGACAACAGUCCAGUAUAACCUAACAAGAACCACCCAGAAAUGUAUUGCAGUUAAACCAUAUCUGACAGGAGAGGAAGCCAGUGGAUUCUUACAACCAAAGUCAGCUAAUUCAAGUUCUCAAAUUCCUUCAAUGCAUAAUCUCAUACAAUACGUACACACGCACACACGUGUUAAAGAGGUGACAUACCAACACUGCCAUUGGCACUCGAUAGGCAGUUUUCCUAUACUCACGGAUCACCUGUGAUAUCUGUGAAUGUGUCCUCCUUGAAUAAAGAAAAUGUAUAGCAUUAGCAUCAAAUGUAAAUGAGAAAGACGAUUUGAAAAGAAAAAAAUCCAAGCCCUUGUUUCAAAGUCCAGUAAGUUGGAACUAACGAGGAGUAGUAAAUGGUCGGGGCUGUUUUUUUCUUCCGAAUUUUGUUGUUUGGCCCUGGAAGAGAUGACUCUGUAUCUGUAGACACUAGAGAACCCUUAAUAUUCCUCAGAAGAAGUUACUGGUCCAUAAAACACAAAGCAUAAAAAAGCAAAUACGUAUAUAUAUUUAAAUUUUUUUUUUAAAAAAAAAGUGAGCAAUGUUACUUUAUUGUUAGCUGACGUCCUUCCAUCAGUAGAAAUUUCAGUACAAAUGAGAAAGAGCCGCAUGUAAAACAAAAGCUUGCCAUCAUCCGCAUUCCACAAUAGCUAUUUUUCAUUAAGCGUUUGAAAGAUGAUAUUCCAUAGUGAAUAGAAGAAAAACAAUUUGUUCCAACCUCUGGGUGCCCACGUAUUAUUUCACUCUAUCUCAACGUUAUUCGUCCAUAAAAAGAAAAAAGAAAAAACCAACCAUCUUCAGAUCAAAUUAACCGUCGAAAAAGUUAACAGUUCAAGAUACUUGACAGUUUUUGUUGCAAGCUAUGCGCAACGAAAAUAUAUGUCGUCCAAAGCUACCCUAAAUACAUCCUCACGAUAAACAGUAAACCAUAAACCAAUUUUUUCUACGUCUCUACCUGACCACCUAAUCGAAUUCGUGCGUUCGAUAUGUUCGGAUGAACAGGGUAAGGACAUGCACACUUACUUGACGGCUGCACUUCGGGAAUAAAUCCACCGCCAAAACCGAGAGGAUUCGUGGCAGCCUCUGGAGCAGGCCUCGUGUGACAGAAAUUAGCAUCCUGAUUCUUUAUCUUGAAAUUCUUCUGCCAAGCAAGACUAGAGCAGAGAAGUGAAAGUGACUUCCCGGUUCCAGUCGGAGAUUCCAGCAACGCGUGGCAAUGGCCCUCUCGCUGAGCUCGAUCAAGGGUGGAUAUAACUCUGUCCAUGAACUCCAGCUGCGAACCGUAUGGUCGGAAUGGAAAUUCCACUUGGACGCCACCAAUCCGGUACACAUUCUUCUUAAGCCGAUAAGUUCGGUUGGGCUUGGAUUUAGGCUUCCUCCCCCCUUUUGCAUAGACCAUUUUGGCAGUAUUACACAGAACUUUUCGAGUGGGGUUAUUCGAACUCAUUUUGAGCUACCUAGCUUGGGGAACUACACGAUCGACAGUGGAGUUGUGUGCUCGGUUCGAUUUGAUGGUGGUGGUUUCUUGAAAAGCUUUGGCGGGAAAGGUGAGGGCUUAUCGUACUUGAAAUUGGCGGUAGACAGUAUAAUUAGUUCAUCUUGCAAUGAACGGUGAGGCUCUUGUUUGAAAAGACUCUUCUGUCCUUUGUGGCCAACGGCCGUAAAGGUUACCGUUUAGGCCGAAUUGAAAUCGAUAUUUUUUAAUAUCGAUACUUUCAUAAUAUUCACCUAAAAAAUAGCAAAUUAAAUUAAAA